This 52346-nucleotide long non-coding RNA is filed under the name Sorghum bicolor (sorghum). RNAcentral describes it as "long non-coding RNA (SBIC_LNC013480)". Lineage: Eukaryota; Viridiplantae; Streptophyta; Magnoliopsida; Poales; Poaceae. The record is from RNAcentral.
CUUUGAGCAAGCCAACACCCCCACAAUAUAUAACCACGUGCAUCCAAAGACACCAAACAUAUAUCACACUUCACACAGAAGCAGCCGUUUAUUCAUUGCAUUACACUGGUAGACUAGAUGACACACGACACGAUACGCCAUGCAACGGGGACCAUGCAUGGCUCUACAAUCACACACACACACAGAGAGCUAGGGCUAGGCACGUACGUACCCGGCACCGGCAUAGCUUGAUCACAAUCACACACAUGCAUGCACGUAUGUACACACAUACGUACGCAAUAAACUAAAACCAUGCAUGCAUACUACUCACAACAACACAGCACACUACUACUUGCGAAUCAAAAGGAGGCCGGCUGCAUAUGCAUGCAAUGCAUGUUUUGGAACACAUGCAUCUGCAUAUCACAUGGUCAUGGUUGGGACGAAAGGUGGUCUGACUCUGACGGCGAGGCCGCAGUAGCCCCCUGCUGCCGCUGCUGCUGGGCUGCCGGCGGCGGCGGGGACUUGUUGCCUCUUCAACUUGAUGUAGCCGCCGUCGCCCCACUUGGUCCCCCACGAGUUCUUGACGAUCCAGUACUUCUCCCCGGUGGCCGCGUCCUCCCCGUACCCAACCACGGCGACGGCGUGGUUGAACCUGCUGCCGCACCGCCCUCGGUACACGCCUUGCCCCCUGAAGUGGUGGAAGUCCGGGUGGCCGGCCCUGAUCGCGACGACGGCCACCACCGGCUGCUCCUGCUGCUGCCGGCCGGCCACCACCGCGUUCAUCAGCGCCGCCUCGUCGUUCACAAACACACCGCCGCCAUGAACUGUCGUCUUUCCCGACCCAGUGGUGAUCGUCUCCUUGACGACGGGGUAGCAACGGCGGCGGCAACGGCGGACGCAACGCUUGCGGUGGCCAAGGCCAACUACUCCUCUUUUGCCAGUGAUGAUGCAACGGCGGACACAACGGCGGACGCAACGGCGGCCGUGGCCGCCAUGGCCACCGCUCACGGUGUCAAAGUCACCGCCAUCAUCGCCAUCACUGUCGUCGUCUCCGUCGCCGCCGUCGUUGCUGUCGCCGUCGUCGUCGAAGCCGUCGUCCAGCGCUAGCGUGGCCGUGGUGUACAUGGCCAUGAACUCGUCGGUGGUGAGGUCGGUGUACUCCGUCUCACCGAGCUCGUACGAGGGGUCCUCGCCGUUCCUCGCCAGGAUGUACCGCAUGUUGCCGGCGUACACCUGGAAACGGUGGCGCUCCUCCGAAGCCGUCGCGUAGCUUCGGUUGUACUCUACCUUCCAGCGUUGGAACCGCUCCAUCAUCUGAUCAUCAGUAGCACUGUCGAAGCUGCUGCUGUCGUCGACGUAGCCGCCGCCGCCGCCAACCAGCUGAACCGUCGUCGGUGAGCAGCUGCCGGCGCCGAGGGAGACAGCGAGGAGGACAACGACGAGGAGGCAUGGUAGGGAGUUGUUAUUCAUGGGAAGGAGCGAGCACGUCGUCGCCAUGGUUCAGUACUCUUCGAUCAGAUCACUAAUGGUGGCGUGUAGUGUUGAGCUUUGAGAUGUGACCUGCUGGUGCUAGGCAAUCCACGUUUAUAUAGAGCGGGGCUGGACAUACGAUCACUGAUGAUAUGUUAAAUCGUACUUUUUCUAGCUGCCAGUAGUUUUAGUCAUGGCUCGCCAUGGCCCAUGCUUAGGCCUUGUUUAGUUCACCACAAAAACCAAAAACUUUUCAAAAUUUUCCGUCAUAUCGAAUCUUGCGGCAUAUGCAUAUGGAGCAUUAAAUAUAGAUAAAAACAAAAACUAAUUGUACAAUUUAUCUAUAAAUCGCGAGAUAAAAUUUUUAAAUCUAGUUACUCUAUUUAUUAAACAAUGUUUGUCAAAUAAAAACAAAAUUACUAUAGUGUCGAAAUCUAAAAACUUUUUGGAUCUAAACAAAGCCUUAAUGGGAGAGGAUGACGACGACGUACGGAGAACUAUCCAAUUUCCUGACAUGAUGAUUUCCUUAAGGCCAAGAGACGGUAGAUGUGGUGCAGUACGGUAGAUGUGGUGCAGUAGUUCUCCGACGAUGCCUUCAGAAGGACUUUGACAUCCGCAGAUGACAACAACGUUGGAAGAACAAGAGGAGGUCUUUCGACACCAACUUGCUUCGGCAAACAUGAUCUUCGACGAUGCCUUCAUGAAGGCAGAUGACACGGUUGUGCCAACCAAGUAGAGUUUUCACCCAAAUAUUGUGCUAACCCUAGAAGGCCGCAGCUGCCGACCUCCACGCCGACCAUGGGAGGACAGCCGUGGAAGCCGGCUGCCACAGGUGCAGCCCAACCGGGGGAGGUUGGCUCUUAAAGCCAUGCCCCGUAUGAGGCCAUAGGGACCAUACACCCCACCGCCCUAGGCCAGCGGGUCCACUCCCGACAUGGCCAGGCUAUGCUGGCAAGGAGAACUGGCAAGAGGAGUCGUGACCCCCAAGGCCGCAACCCCUCUUGCAGUCGGCCAUGGCCGCCCAGACGCUACCGCCAUCGCCCAAGAGACUAUAGGACGCGCAACGCACCCAUGCUAGACCGCACCAUCUGCUCGAAUGUGACAGACACCCUUCCCUUGUGUGAAACUGCAGAUCAAGGAGGGAGUGGCUAGGUCUGGCCAUAGGGGGCCGGAUCUACCACGUUGGGCGACCGACCUGCCAGAAAAGCUAGGGUAGAGGGGGCGGAGGAGGGACAGGGGUAGAGAAGGGAGGGAGCAGGCUGCAGCGGCUACCUGUUUUGGGGCCACUACGGGCCGCCGCCGCCACACACUGGAGGACGAUGAUCGCGGCCAGAGGAAGGGUGUGGGGAGGAGUGUUGGGUGGCACCUGCAAGCCCCUAAGUCGGCCGAAGGAGCGCUCAGGGGUGACUUGUGCGAUUUCUUUUUUGACGUCCUAGUCUACGAGUACUACUCUUCGCCCAAUUCUAAGAGGAUGCGCCAAACAUAACAUCAGGUUCAUAUAAAAAAGAGGAAAAAUUAUCUCAUUGUUGGACGCCAUCAAUAAAAAGGUGGAAAACACUACUCUUUCUGAUAACGAAAUAAAUAUGAAACACUAUCUCAAGGAAAAGAUUGCUUCUCUUAUUGCGAGAAGAAGAGAUGAAGUGGUGUGAAAGGGUGAAGGUUAAAAAUCUUCUUGAAGGUGAUUAUAAUACCCGUUUCUUUCAUUUAGUGGCUAAUGGCAAACAUCGCAAACAAACACAUCUUCAAAUUAGAACAAGAUGAUUGUAUAAUUGUUGGCGACAAUGAAUUGAAAAAAUACAUCACUAUUUAUUACAAAGGCCUUUUCGGGCAACCACAUGACAAUAACCUCUCCCUCGUGGAUUAUGAGAUAUAAACAAUACUCCCUCCGUAUAGGAUUUAGGAAGAGAGCUUAAAGAACAAUUUAACAUAUUGGCUAGAUUUCCUCUCUCUUGUUGUGAACCUCCAAAAACAAACACCUCACUUUUAUGAAAAAUUAUCUUAAGACUAGUUAACCAUUCAAAGCAAUAUAGAAUUGAGAUUCCUAAUAGAUUGGAUAGAGCCAUCACGUGGCAGACCUCUCUCGAGCACAGCCGGUAGAACCUCGCGUGGUGGACCUCUCCCUCGCAUAGCCGAUGGGAUCUCGCGCCAUCGCAGAGCUCGCUCGCCGCCGGCAGGAGCUCGCGUGCGGGACAUAGGGGCGGAGUGGUAGGGCAGCUAGCAGGUCCGAGGCCGAGACAGGCGCCGAUCGCUCCUGCGCCGCCAUCGCGGCUUGCGCAAUGCCAGGGCAGGCGCGGCCGCUCGUCUGCUGCCGUCGAGGCUAUGGACGUCGUGGCCCUGGUGGGCGGCGAGGACGCGGCGACACAGGGGCGGGGUUGGCUUGGGGCUCCGGCGCCGACGUGGCUUCGUUCUGGGCUCGCCUCGCUCGCGACCGUGUGGUGUGGUUUCUGCAGUCUGCAGAGAGGAUCCUUCGAUGAGUCAAAGAAACACAGUGAUUGAUUGGCUAGUUUGUUUUUAUUAUUUUUUUACCAGCACACCAGCAGAAGUCUUGCAUAGCAAAGGAUGGUUUUAUGAUACCAUGUCCUAUACUAUAAAAACUAUGUCCUUGUGGUUUCUUGCAUUGAGGGCACUUCCAAUGCAUGAAACUUUUAGUAGUUUCUAUAGCAUAGCAUAGGACAUCGUACUGAGAAACCAUCCUUCCCAGUGCAAGAUUUCAAACAAUGAUUGAUGGACCAAUUAUUGCAUAAGAUAUCAAAUUUGAUACUAUGUCUUUCUGGUCUUAUUAAUUAUAAUCCCAUGUAUCAAAACAUGAUCCUCUCCUAGGUUGCAACUUUGAAGGUGUUAGAUUUGACCACGCUUGUUGGAUCUUAUAUAUGGUUGCUUGUUCCCAUUUGUCGAUAUUAAUGUGAUGCCUGGACUUUCUUGCUAGGAAAGUGAGCAAAGUUUUGAGCUUAGGUAGGGAUGUGGAAAGAAAGAGCACAUGCUGAGAUGGCGAGGCUCAGAGCAUAGCAGGGAAAGAAGUAUAGAUGGCCAAGUGGACCAAGCACGAUGGGCCAACACAGGCAUGACACAGGCUUUAUAAUGCCAUAGCUGGGACAAGCAUGAGCUUGGACCAUAAUGGACAUCGCACCUUUAGGAGAUUGAACAAUAGAUUUUUACAUUGACACAUCACCACAUGCGUUCCCAUAAUGACACAUACCACUAAAAAAUAACACAUUAAUCUUGGAAAAAACAUUAAAAAAUUAAGCAUCUAUGUGAAAACAAGGAGUAAGAUCAGAGCGGAGCUCGAUUAGUUCGCACAUAUGUAGAUAAUUUCUAUGUAAAAUUAGAAAGUUGCUUUAAAUUAUUUUUCAUAAUAAGAUAAAUGGUUAAUUUAGUUGUAGAUGUGGGAGCUUUUUUAUUUCUAUAAACAACGGAGUGGGUAAUUUCUAUGUAAAUUUAUCGGCCUUAAAUUAUUUCUUCAUAAUGUUGUGCGUGGGUAACUUAGUAAACAUAGGAUUUGAUUUAAUUAAAUUAUUUAUGGUGGCUGGCAUCACUGCAUAAGUAUGAAGGUGGAAGCUCCAAAGGAGAACAUGGCAAGUGCCACUAGUGGGUUUCAUCAAUACUGUAUUCCUUGUCGUAAUGAAUAUGAUAACUAGCCAUUUUUAUUUUUACGGUAAAAAUAUAUAGAUCAAUCCUCAUGUUUGUUGAGGAAAGGACGCUGACAUUGAACCGUUGUAACCAUAAGAGAUGUAAGAGGACGACGAUGGAUGCAAAACUUCAAUUCGGAUCGUGGCGAUGGUACACGAUGAUGAAUCUAAAACCGUAAUGACUAGUGCGAAUCUCGACAAUGCUAACACAACAACUCAAGUGUUCAUUCUGACUCCAAACUUGGAGUCUCAUCAAUCAAGCCGACUACAUAUUGGUGCCUGGUGGAGAGGGCUUGUUACCAUGCAUGCAUUGUCACCAUCCCUCACGAGGGGGGGGGGGGCAGUGGCCCCCACCCCAAACAAAAUGAUUUAUCUAAAAUACAUAUAAAGGUUUUUUAAACAUAUAAUUAUAUAUAUAUUAUCACAUUAAAAAAUACAAUCAUAUUUGUUCGACUCCUUUAAUCAAAAUCGCUGGUUCCAUCACUACACACAGCUAGCUUACGCCAGGCCACCGGCAGAGCCAUGUGAAGGAGUAGGAUACGUUGCAGCCGCCUCCUCGGUCAGGCUUGAUGACUCGACACUCCACAGUGUGGGCUCGGUCUGAACGGAGCUGCAGAAUCGGCAACGCCAAACACGAGGCGCAGCCGCCCGACAUUAUUGGUGCUGGUGCCCGCUGGAGCUAGAGGACAUGUACCACACGUGCAUCGUCACCAUCCCUCACAGCUAGCACCAUGUCAAGGAGCUGAAAGCAUGCAAAGCUUUGAGUUCGUGGCUUUCCCGGUCCACAUGCACAAUGUGUGGUGUGUACAUGUAGGAACAUGGUACGGUACCACGUUCCUCGUCCCGGGAUUAGUUCAUGGUUUAAGGUGAUGUUAUUUCAUUAGUUUGUACCGACGCUAUGUUCAUUGUGUGCGGAAAGUCUAAAACAUGUUGUCAAACAACUUUUGUAGAACAGACUUAGUUCUACUCCUGAUGCUAUGAAAAAACCAUGAAGGUUUGGGGCUUUGUGAGAUGCCAGGAGGAGAAACGUUAAAUGGUAAUGCUGCUUUCUGUUCUCUUGCAGAAGAUCUCUGCAUUUACUGAAGCUGUAGAAGUUCAAACAAAAGGAGUGUAUACUGUAUAGUCCUAUGGAGCGCUCCUAAUCACAUAGUGACAAGAUGAUGCCUUUGUUAAGUCAAAAUCUAUUGUAUCUAAUGUCAAGCUUAGGCAGUUGGAUGAUGAUGUGAUAUGCCUGAGCCACUGGGAUCAAAGGAGAGGGUAGAGCUUAGCAUGAUAGAUGAAAGGUUCAGCAUGUGGACUGAGCACAAAUAAGCAAAAAAAAAAAAAAAUCCUUUUGUUGUUGGACAACGUGGACAAGUAGGCUAGUAGGGGAAAAAAUGACCCAACACUCUAUCCAAGUUCUAGACUCAAACAUUUGCCUGGUGCAAAGCUCACAUUUGCCUUGGCUAACAGAAAUUGCUAUGGUCGGUCUGGUAAUCGCACAGGUUUCACCUACAUGGUUAUGCAGACUUGACAAGACAGCUUACCAAAAAAUAAUUAUUUACUUUAAUUUCUCGUGCUUACUCUAAUGAAAUACUAUAGCAAAAAAUAAUUGUCUUAAAUGAUCUUAAUACAAAUAAUUUAUCUCAAUAUGCAAACUAUAAUAUUGUACAGUCAUCUUUUUUAGAUAAUACAAAAUCAAUUGACUUUAGCUAGCGUUCUCAUGCACAAGCAUCCAACCAAACACGUUUUUUUCAAACUUACCUGGCUUAAGCCUGUUUGCUUGGCUGAUAAGUUAAAAGUACUGUUCAAUAAUUUAUUAAGAGAGAUAAAUACUAUUUAAUAACUUACAGAUUCCGCCGAUAAUCAUCAACUCUCACACAACAAUUUUUACUGGAUAACUCACCCAGUACACCAACAAAAACAGGCCUAAAUCGUGGAGCCCGUGAUGACCUUUGUGCACCCGGCCUCAAGUCGCGAGCGCUGGUACUCCUUCCUCCACAUGGCUGUGGGCUGGUCUGGUGCCGCCUGUGAGCAAUGCAGUGUCCUCGCCCGUCGUCGAUGGGUGGGUGCAGACGUGCAGUGCAGCGACGAAGAUGGACCAAACCACGAACGAGGCUGUACCAGUCCUGACCGUCGUCGCCGGCCGGGGCCCGGGCCGUGUCCACACCAAGCGGCCGGUCGUCGUAGGUGAUGAUGAAAAUAUCGAUCGUGAUCCAUGCAGAGCGCAGUCAGCAUGCUGAUGCAUCAGUCCACCACCACCACCACUUGUCGUCUGUGGACGGCGCAGAGUUUUCUUGGCCGGCCGCCCACGUCUGACACGGCCGGUACGGACGUACGGUGAUGAGGCAGACGCCCACAUACAGCGAGGCGGUCGACCUCGCCCGUCGUCCACGGCGUAGAAGCCGAACACGAAUCUCAUUCCGCGCGGUGUUUUUCUUUUUCUUUUCUUUUUCUGCAUGACGCAAAAAGGUUUGCGUGUUUUGUGUAUGAGGCAAAAAAACGUUUGUGUGUCUUUGUAUUAAGGUAGAAGAAAAAGUUUAAUACAAUACGUCUUAGCAAAGCCUAGAAGGUUACAAGAGCUAUGCAUGGACGUUGAGCUGGCGUCAUAAAAUCUUUGGUGUUACAUUGAGAAUGGAUCUACCCGAAAAGAGACGUCGGCUAGGACACAUAUGCCAGUGCAGCCGAGCGGCGACGGCGCCACUUGUGUGUACCCACGCCAUUGUCCGGCGGGAACUGACGAAGCGUCUCCAUCUGGUCGGGGUCACAUCCGUAGAUUUCUUCGUAUGCCUUCAUGGCUGACGUGGACGGAGUCGACAUCCCGCUGCUUAGUCCUAGGCGCUUCAAGACAAGGCGCUCGCCUUGCUUAGCCACCGAGAUGUGAGACAGGCUCUGCGUCGCUAUCUGCCUUCUCCUCUUGGGGAGUGUAGGUGGUGCACAUCUGUCGAGGGCUAAAUCAUCGCCGGAUAGCUCUACGAACGGCGUCUGCCUCGCCUUCUUGACUCAUGUAAUGAAACUCUUGAGGCGACGACUAUCGGCGGAGUCUGUUUGAGGGGAAGGAGCGUUAUUGACAAUGUUUGUGGCUGCCACUCCAACCAAGACUGAAGAAUGGACCGAGAUAACCAAGACCAAAGCACGAUGUUUUUUCGAUCACCAUUUCGGUUCUGAGUCCAUACUAUUUGAUCUUUUUACGGUAAUUAGUUUGGUUAUAUACCUCGGGUAACAAUACUAACCGAACAUUUGGAUUUUGUUGAUAUAAUAUUGUUGGGGAUUCGCCCAUGUCCCCUAGUUGCUUCGGAAGCGAAGGUUACCAGGACCUUCGGACGUUGACAGGCGAAGGUUUGGGGAAAAGCUAACGCUGAAUCGGCUUAAUUCUGUGAGACACAGGUACACGAGGACCAACUUGGCGUGGAGGACCCUAAAAGCCGUGCGUGAAUCCUCCGGCCCUGAGGUGGCGGAGCACCUCGGAAGGCGGGCGCAGAUCCUUCGGCUCCAGAUUGGCGGAGAAUCAAGAGCCACUGGCGGAAGAAUGGCGAAGGUCCAGACCACGUCAGGGUUAGAACGUCGGCGCAAUAAUUUGUAAAAUAUUCUCGAGGGAGAAUUACUCAAGUAGCCCUAUAGGUCGCUGCCUAGAAGGCAGAAUAUACUAGCAUAUUCUACCACCAUCACGGGGUGUUUUAGUGACAGGUUAUGAGCGGAAACUGAGCCCUAUAUAUAUAAAGGGAUUGUAAAUGCUCAUCAAAGGGGACAGUUGGAAGCAAUUUAUCAAAACUUUUACUAUUCUAGGGUUCACGUCCCCGCCUCGUACCCCAUGCGGUUGGGUCCCUAUGGCACCGAGCGAGAUAUCCCAGCCAAUCACUGUCGGCGAAGGUUGUGAUCACUACCAACAAAUAUGUAGUGAUGCAAUAUUCAUUCUAGUAGGUUCAUAUUAACUAUCACUCUUGUCACUUUGUUUAAUCUAUAGGUUAUAUUGUAAUUUUUACCUUGGAAUAGAAACGGUAGUGCUAAUUGUGCUAAAAACUUAUGCUAUUUAGCGGUUGUUUUGUCUAGUCCAGUUAGUUUGGUCAUAAACAAGACCAAACUUGUUUACUCCUGAGUUUUAAAACUCCGUUUUUAAAUGACCGAACUUUCAAAAUGCCCGAAAUACUCCGAAUCUCAGCGAAUUUCGUCCAAUUCGGUUAGGUCCGAAACGAAUUUUAUGAUCCAAUUUCCGAAAAUUCACCGAAUUCAGCCCGAAAUUGAACCGAAUUUUUCCGAAUUUCGUCCAUUUCGGUUAGGGCCGAUUUUUUUUUCAAAAUGAAUGCCAAAACCUCGGCCGGAAUCAGUUCAUUUCGGUUAGACAAUGCAACGCUAUUAAUAAAUCCAUGGGCCCGUGAUGACAUUUCUGCACGAUCGAGCUCCGGACAGAGCAAGCACACCGAUAAUGCAUGGCGGGUGGUGUCGUCACGAGCAGGCCGCAACGCUGCAGGAGUAUCGUUCGUACUCCACAUCCACAUGGCUGGUGGGCAGCUGUGACGCCAUGGUUCAUGCAUGUCGAUCGUCUGGUGGUCGGCGAGGUCCCUGCUGGUCGGCGGGGAGCAGCAGGUGUCGUCGAUGGGUGCAGCGACGAAGGUACGGUGGACCACACCACGGUCCUGCUGCCUGCUGGUGCUGUGUACUGUAGGGCACAAAGCUGUCAUCACCGGUUCUCGCUGCAGCACCACGACGACGCUCCAGUUCUGUUCUGGUGGCCGUCGCCAGGGCCCGGCCCGUCCGCACCAAGCAGUCGUCGUCGUCGUACCAUGUCGUCUGCGAUCCACAGCGCACCACCACCACGCGACACUCAUGCCGGGGGCGGGGCGGUACGGUGGUGAGCUAGACGCCCACAGCGAGGCGGUCGCCCCGUACGUCGUCCAUGGCCGCAUGGCGUAGAAGAAGCCGAGCGCUAAUCUCACACGGCGCCGGCGUUCAGCAUGGCGCGGUGUGUCCCGGCCCGUGUUAGCAUGUGGCCGCCGCCGGCGAACUCAAGUCUGAACUCUCGACUCUCAGGGCAUGGAAUGGAGCAUUUACACUAGCGGUUGGCUUAAGUCUGUGAUAAACGUUUCCAAAGGCGGCCGAAAAUCUCUGGCACCGCCCUAUUUAUACCACAGGCGCGUCGUAACUGGAACCGCGUGUGGUAUAAAAAGGGACGCCAGCUAUGAGCAUGUUUCUACUAGUAGUUUUUGUAGGGCGUGGAACUGAAUGUUUUUUUAGGAAAAAAAGAGGACACAAAAACGGAGGAGUAGCGUUUGGAUCAAAGGAUUGUCAUGUUACCCUUCCUUAUGGAACACUGUUGCAGGCUUUUCAUUUCAAAAGGCCUCGUUUAGUUUGGGUCGGUAAAGCUUACCGUCCAUCACAUCGGAUGUUUGGACACAUGUAUGGAGUACUAAAUAUAGAUUAUUUAUGAAACUAAAAACACUACUGGAGAGUAAUUUGAGAGACAAAUCUUUUAAGUUUAAUUAGUCUAUGAUUGAAUACUAAUUGUCAAAUAAGACGAAACUACUACAACACAUGUUAAACUUUAACACUCCGAAUCAAACACCCUAUAAAAUCCAAGGUUUUCUUUUCCUUCACGAAGUACGUUAGCUACCUUAUGCACGUCAUUGUCCAAUCUCUGCUGCUAUGCACCUUGCACCCAUUAAGCACUAAAGCUUGUAUUAUUAUUUCUAAAAUUUAUCUGAUUCUACCGUUUGGAGUUCUUACAUUCCAAACACCUCUAUCUACAUCUUCCUAUGUUUUUCUAUUCCUCUGUUUUCCCAUGAUAUUUACAUUCUAUUUCUAUGUUUUUUUCCUUUUCUCUCUUUUGCAAUCCUUGGCUCCAAACAGACCCUUGAGUUGUCGCGAUCGAGCGACAGCUGACAAGAGCAACAAAAAAAAAGGCGUCCUGCUCCUUUAGUCCCCCACAAGGCUGGACGCUGGUGGCCCGGUUCUUUUUUUUUGAAAAGGUUUCCAUUAAUACAUUCAUCCACACAAAUUGCUGGAUAUUAGCAGGUUUACAGACUUAGGUAAAUAAUGGCCCUGCCACAGCAUAGAACCACUUUUACAAUUUAAACCUAUAGCUGCUAAUGUAUGAGCAACUUCAUUACAAGCCCGAGGGCAGUGAGAGAUAAUACACUCAUUAAAAUCAUAUAAAAUUCUAAAUCUAAUCUCUCUAAACAUCGUUCCCAGAGGAGAUCUAUCAAAAAGUUGAUUCUUAACAACGUUGACUACCACCUCGGCAUCAGUUUCCAGGAUGAUGUGUUCCAAACCUAACACAGAAGCUUGCUCGAGACCCUUUAUGCAUGCCAACGUUUCUGCAUGGUAAGCAUUCAUCAGAUGAUCAGCUGCACCUGCUCCUGCCAUCACAACCUGCCAUGCAUAUCAAGAAUGCCCCAUCACAGUUUAUUUUGUAAGCAUCUUCUGGGGGCACUUUCCAUCUUUUGUUUUACAACGUGUUUGAUUCUUGUAUUAGACUGCUGGUGAGUUAGAUUCCAUACCAUCAUAUGGUAAUUCACUUCGUUAAAAACUUCUUGAGCAUUGUUCCUCCGUUCACCUGCAUUAGUCUUAUUGCGCGCAGACCACCAGCACCACAUGAGUAGAAUUAUUUUCUGCUUUAUGUCACUGCGAAGUCUCCAGAUUUUGGUAAGCAUAUCUUGUAUUGUUCCUUAUUUUAAUAAAUCCACCCUCACCUUUUCCAAGUUCAGAAGCAACCAACAUAGUUUAAUGUAUUUGCAUUUGAAUAAUAAAUGGCCAAUAUCUUCAUCAAAUCUGUAGCACAUAGGACAUAGAGUAUCCAAUUUAAUUCCCUUCCUUGCAAUAUUCCCUUUAACCUGCAGUGAAUUAUGUGCCAUUUGCCAUACAAAGACCUUCACCUUAUUAGCCACAUUUAACCUCCAUAUUUCCUUCCAUUCAAAGUUAUAGGAAGCAGUACAAGAAGUUGAUGCAUCAGCUCUGGUUUCUUUAUCGCGGAUUUCAAUACCCAAGGCAUAGGCAGAUUUUACUGAAAAGACUCCCUUGGGGUCAGGGUGCCAGGCCAAAAAUCCUCUGUAUCUUCCACAAUUGGGAGAGAGAGAAUUAAUCUUGCAUCUUCCUCCCAAAAUAUGUCUUUAAUCAACUGUUCAUCCCAAUAACCUGUUGCUGGAUUAAUUAAUUCAAUGACCUUUUGUAAGAUAGAACCUCUUCGAGGUGUAAUAAUUCGCCUUAUGCUAUUACUCGAAAUCCAAGGGUCAUUCCAAAUGCUGGCUGCAGAGUGGUGGCCCGGUUCUAGCGAGCCGUGAGAACGACGAUGACGGUGGUGACGAUGUGCUUCAUGUCCUCUGCACAGCACCGCAUCAAUGGUGGCGAGUCUUAACCUCGCACCUGUAACAAUUCUGUAAUAAUUAUGAUUUUUUUUCUUUCUCUCGUCUAAUAAAAAUCUAGCAAAGCUGUUGCCGCCUUUCGAAAAAAAACUACACCGAACCAACGGUGACGGAACCAGCGAUUUUGAUUAAUGAGGGCCCAACAAAUAUAAUUGUAUUUUUUUAGUGUGAUAAAAUAUAUAUAAUUAUAUAUUUGAGAACUUUUUCAAAAAUAUUAUACUAUUUCUUACCAAAAUCAUCAUAUUUUAACCAAAAAUAAGUGAAAUUAAUAUUUUUAUGCUAUAAAUAUCAAUAUUUAUAUAGACACUCCAAGUAGAUUAUUGUGCUUGGGGAUGGGGAGGCACUGCCCCUACUAGCCCCCCCUGGUUCCACCACUGCGCACCAAUGGCACGUCGUUAUGUUGGUGGCUGGCGCCCCAGUUCAAAUAAGUUAGAUUCGUCAAUUUCCCAGCGCCGGCGUGCUGCAUCUACCGCCAAGAGACUCUUCACUUCGUCUUCAGAUUCAGCAGUGUGUGCCAUCGCCGUCGCUAUUGCCACCAUGUGAGGCCUUGUUUAGCUCCAUUUUUUUUGCAAAAUGGACACUGUAGCAUUUUCGUUUGUAUUUCACAAAUAUUAUCCAAUCAUAAACUAAUUAGGCUCAAAGGAUUCGUCUAGCAAAUUACAGGUAAGCUGUACAACUAGUUAUUUCUUUUAUUUAUAUUUAAUCCUCUAUGCAUGUGCCACAAGAUUCGAUGUGACGAAGAAUCUAAAAAACUUUACAAAAUUUUUUUGAACUACACAAGGCGUAUGAAUUGAAGUUUGCACCCGUCGUCGUGCUCUUGUGGUUACAACGACUCAGUGCAUGCGGGCUAUCUGCCCGGGUUGGCGGGUUUGGACGAGCAUCGUUUUGUUUAGUAAAUUAUUUACUCUUUUGCUGGUUUUUCUAUUCUUGGUCUGAUUUUCUCAUUUUUGUAGGAACAAAUCAUUGAUAACGAUGGGAGAAAGGGGAAAAAAUUACUCUCUCUUCCUAUAUUUUUCGGCCACUUUGUGUAAAAUUAAUUUGGAUACGCAUGAACUCCUACCUGUAAUUAGGAUUUUUUUUAUGUAGCAAAGUCCAUGCAAAGAACCUGCAUUUGGCCUCAAGAACACAUGAACAUCUCCAUUAUCGAAAAUACCAUUGGAAAAACUAUUAUGUAAUAAUGACAUGACGGUUCAAAACAAAAUCAGUGAAACUAUACAAAACAUUGAUUUCAUAUUGGGAAUAAAUACUUAGAAUAAUAGAGGAUGAACUAACAAUAGGUUGAGGUUUAAAAGGAAAACCAAUAGCAUAAAGAAGCACACAGCCAUGCAUAUCACUCCCUCACACCAUCCCAAAAUGACUCAAGUUAGGUUUGUCGUAAUUCAAACCAUACUAAAUUUUGACUAAAUUUAUAGAGAAGAGUAUAAACAUUUAUGGUACCAGAUAUUAUAUAAUUUUAUAAAUAUAUAAAAAUUUUUAUUCGGUAUUAUGAGCAUGAGAAGUAUAGUUAUUUUGGGGGUGCACGUAUGGCCGGACGUCGUAGCUGUUUGUGUGUGUGUGUGUUUUUUUUUUUUUAUGAAGGAGUUGUGCCUUUGCGUUGAUGCCUGGUUCUACGUUCCAAAUGGGCCAAGCAGGCAAGAGAUUUCACAGCCCAAGGUCCACGGCCCUGGAUUAGUAAACUUGGGCUCGGCCCACUUUGUCAGCCCAUCUGCACGAAGCCCAGCGCAGCCCAGCUCAGCCCAGGUAUGACUGGUAGUCGUCCCCGUCCUCGAGCUCGAGGUCGUGGGUUGGUGGGGGCCAAGUAACGCGCAGCCUCGCUGUCGCCAGCCUUCCACGUUUUUUUCCCCCCCUUCUCCUUCUCCCCCGCCCGGGGAAUCAAGACUCGACAGCUCCAGGUUGGCCAUCGAACACCCAUCGUCGCCAGCACGGAGGGGGGUGGGCAACUCACUGGACGCCGUGGUGGCGGACCGGCCACGACGCGUCCCCCAGCUGCACGACGAAAGGCGGGCCAGUUAAUUGCUUGACUUGAUCCUCUUCUUGGGCGGCGCGGCGUCCUGUGCCGUGCCGUGCUGCGUCCGCGACUCCGCGUGUGAAAGACUCGACCGGCAUCCCUGAUCCACAUGGCCUACCGACGGAAGCAGGGCGCCGCCGCCGCCGAUGAUCGCCGGAGCUCCUAUCCCCAGGCACGCACUCCUGCCUCUCCUCCUCCUUCUCCUUCUCUUCCCCGGCCUCCUGUCCUGCUGUGUGUGCCCCCGCUCCCGCUGGCUUGCUUGUAGUUGUGGCCUACCGUGCGGUUUCUUGGUUGCCGAUCGAAAUCUCUGAACAGAAUUAGGAUCAGGAAAAAAAACCAAAAUUGCUUCGCCAAUUGAUUGCUGAUUGCUUGGUUCCUCUGAAAGUCUUCCUCAUUAGAUAGAUGUUGUACCAAAUCAUGACGCGUGUAUACACCUUGAAGUCGGUGAUCUGAUACGCGCAAUCGCUCUGUUCCUGACACAACACUAGAUGGCAUGGCAUGGCAUGGCAUGGCAAGAGCUAGCUAGCUUCAGAUCACCACAGUGAGUCCACAACACCCUCAUGAUCUGAAUGAUAUGCUUUGGUUGGUUUGGCUGUGCAGGACUCUGCUUCGUCGCACGGCUACACAUCGUUCAAGAGCAUCGAUGAGCCCAAGCUCGGGUUGUGGCAAACUUUGGCGAGCAAAGCCAAGGGAAUCCUCGACGACGACGGGUUGGCGCAUAAGUUUGAGGAUUUGAGGAAAGAACGACCUCGUAGCAACACCACUACUGCGUCCAGCAAAGAUCAGGUGAGACAGAAAAGUGUAUCUGAAUAUCUGGACAUACUGACUGACAGUCUCAUAAGUGUACUUGUCGUGGAUGACAUUGUUUAGUUGUCUCUCUUUCUUCAGUAACGUCCCAAGUUGCCUUUCGGUUUGCAACUAAUCCCAUUUUUGUUUUGUAAUUUUAGGCCCCUAAUAACUCUCGCUGGUCAUUUGAGAACCACUGGAAGGCUGGAGAUGCCGCAUCACGGAUCAGACCUGAGGCUCUUUCUGCAUCUGUCAACCAGCUUAGUGGAAAAAUAAAAAAUGCUUUCGAAGUAAGUAAUAAUGUGCUUUUACUAUCUUUGUGCAUCUCUGUUUUUUUCCUCUCCUUCAGUCAUGGCAUAAACUUCUGGAGCUAUUUUCUAAACUGAUCACCUGUUGCUUCCUUUGUUUAACAGGAAGGGCUCACAAUUGUGGAUAAUAAGACUUCCAGUAUCAUUGAGGAAACAAAGAAAAUUCAAAUUAGAAGGAAACCUGCUGGUUCAAGUACUUAUGUGCCGAAUUCAGCAGUAGAUACAAAUACACUCAGCACUCCUAAUCUUUCACUUCGUCAGCCUGAAUCUGCUGCCCAGGAGACUGGACUGAAAGCUUCUCGCGACGUAAGGUGCCACAUGCUUAUAUCUUGAUGGCAAAUAGGUUAUUUACAUCUUCUAUGCAGAAAACCAGAAUUUUCUUUGACAUAGGAAAACCUUCAACGUUUAGUGGUCCUUAUAUUUGCAUAUCAACAUCAAAAUCUAUGUUUUGCCAUCUAAUUAGCUUAGUAAGCUCUUUUCUCUUCUUACACUGAAUUAGCUUAACUUUUCUUUCCCUAAUAACAUAAGACUAUGGUGAGAAUAAGAAAUUUGUCCUUCUCGCUAUCAUUAGAUGAAUUCUUCAGAUAAGUAAAUGAAUGAUUCUUCUGUAGUACCUAGUGUCUACCCGGACUGAUCCCUUUCUCUUCACCCCUAUAAAUUGUUUCAGGUUGCUAAUGCAAUGGCUGCUAAAGCAAAACUUCUACUCCGUGAACUGAAAUCUGUUAAAGCAGAUCUAGCUUUUGCAAAGCAGAGAUGUGCUCAGCUAGAAGAAGAGAACAAGCUCUUGCGAGAAACAAAGCAGAAAGGGAGCAAAACUGAAGAAGAUGAUGACUUGGUAUUUUUUUUUUCUGAUCACUCUUAUCUGUUAUCAUGUUGAAUGUCUCUUGGUGAAUUACAUACAUCUUGAUUUUCAAUUCAUCAAGAAUAGGUGAUAGUUCGCCACCAAACUUAUAAAGAAUAUUGCUACAUGGGAAUAUUUUUGAACAAUUGCAUCAAAGGAUCGAAUUUACAGUACUAUCCCCCUUCUGAAAAAUCAGCAUUACAUAACUUUAGAUUCAUAUGAAACAAUAUUAUAUGGUCAUGAGAAGUUUGAGUCCAGUAUCUCGUUUCAUAUUAACUAUGAAAACUGUUGGUACUGUCACUUGUUGUUUGAUAACAUCUAAAGAGUAUCACUGCAUCCUCUGAAAUGUGGUAUAUAAAACAUAUAUGGUCUUGUACUUGUGAACCAGUGAGUGUAACCUUUUUUCUCCACAUCUACUGAAUAGUCCCUCUGAACUACCCAUUGCUGAAUCAGAUUCGUGUGCAACUGGAGACAUUGCUGGCUGAGAAAUCGAGGCUGGCACAGGAAAAUUCAACAUAUGCCCGUGAAAACCGCUUCUUGCGUGAGAUAGUAGAUUUUCAUCAAUUCACCACACAAGAUGUUGUCUCGUUGAAUGAUGGCGAUAUGGAAGAUAGUGAACCAGAAGAAGACAAUGACAUCAUAUGUGCUCAAAACGUGUUGCCUGUGAUUGAAGAAAAUUCAGUAGAUGAAGAACACUCCCCUGUCCCCUCCAGGCCAGAAUCUCCAAUGGUCAACCCGGGAGAUCCAUCAUCAACCAAAUCCAGCAAUUCUCAUGAUGCCUCAAAGCCAGAUGCUGAUGUAUCUGAUGUAGCAUGAUGCAUGCGACUUUGGUGACUUAGCCAUCUUGUUUGGGAUUUCAGCUGGCAUUGGUUGUGAGUUGCGUGCGUGUGCAUAAAAUUUUGUCCAUUCUUUGUCCACACUGGUUUGUAGUUGGAAGUUGUAACAUAUUUACAGGUUUCUACCUUUGUAUAGAGCACGUAUAGUUUGUUUUUUUCCUCCAUGGGGUGUUCUGAUGGAAAACUAACUCAUGUGCCCCGUGGGAGUUUAUUGUGCAUAUGGUUUGGUUUGCAUGUAAUUACCUGUGAAUUUGACUGUUAUAGGCAAGAAAGAAAUAUUGAAGAGUGAGGUUGCAUUGCAUGUAUCUUUUAGUUUUGGUGAUCCGAUACCUUCCUCUCAUAUAGAUGAGUGUACAUCUUCCGUGGUGUCCACCCAAAAUAACACUUGGGUAGUGCUAUACGCAAAGGGUUUAAAAUCCAUUCAACAUCUUCUCCAACAAUAGGAUCCAAAAGAGAAUCUUUUCUGCAAAUGAGUUGCCAGGAGGAAGUAUACUCAUAUUUGGGUUGUGUUUCUCAGACAACCCAAAAUGGGUCUUCCGUAUAGGUAAUCUAAAGCCGAUUUUGAGUCUACUGCUAUCCAUUUUGGGUUUAGAUGCCCAUAUAGAUCACUUGUUGGAGAUAACCUUAGUCACCCAUGCUGGUAAUUUUAGCCCAACUUUUGUGAUGCUGAUCGAAAACACAUGCACAAGCCCUAAACUCAGAUUGGUGGAUCCAGUGGUGGAGAUGCUGUCAAAGAUGGUCAGUGGUAGGCUGGGUAGGGGGAGCAAGGUCAAGUCUUGCACAACCAUAUCCCUCGUGAGGGGAGAUCUGAUGUGCAGGGAGGAAGAAAGAAGGGCUGUCGUCGUCGAAUCAAGAUCUAACACUCUAAAAAUAAUGGAUUAAAUAUUUCCUUUUUGAUCCAUCUAUAAUAUAGUUUUAUACUAAUUUGAAUUGUUUUGACUGUUAAUUUAAACACUUAAAAUCCUAAAAUUGCUUUGCAAAAGUGGUUGGACAAAGUUAAUUAUGUGGUUAGUAGUUUCAUGACCAAAAGCUCUAGCCCAUGCAUGAAGGAAGAGGUCGAUGUCAAAGUAGCCAAUGCAUAAACAAAAAGGUCGACGUCAAAGGAGCUAGUUAGACUCCCCUAGAGCUUUUGGUAGUCGUAAUUUCUUUAUAAGAGAAACAUGGCAUCUAGAGUCAUCUCAUCAUGUGCAAGAUGUUGACACAUUGAUAGUAAUCUUUGUUUGUUAACGAUAAACUUUAUUAGCACAAAUGAUGAAAUUAACUAGAGUGUGCUACUAUAACACCCAGGUGUUAGUUAUAAGCUAAGAAGUGAGUUUGGACUUAAAUAAGAUAUGUCAAAUGGUGAUGAAGAGCUUUAGUUCAUAAUCUUGAAAUGGUGGUGAAGUUGUUGAGGUUAAUCUAUGAGAAUGAGCCCAACUUAAUCUUUUGGGAAAAAAGCAAAACCCUUGUGCUUAGUGUCAAACCCUUUUCAAGGAUUUGCAUGAGUAAUGUUAAAGAUGAUUCUUUCAUGUGCCUCACAUCAACUUCCAUCUAUAUUGACUAUUGGAAAAGUUUCAUGAAGUUUGAAAUCAAAAGGUCAUGUGGAAUGAAAACUUACAACCUUGCUUGAAUUGCUUUGUUUAGUGAACAAGAACAUGUGAUGUCAACCAACCUUUGCAUUCAUGCUCAAACAACUCUAAUGGAAUUCUAGAACAAGAGUCAUUAAAGGUUUGUGUUGAUCAAGUGCCAAGGAAAUGCCCCAAUAGGCCUAAAACCCUGUUUAAGCUUUAUCAAGAUGCUAUUUUGACCAACACAUGACUUUGGUUUCUAUACUAGUUCGAUGGUUUGACCAAAAAUAGAAGUGGUAGAGCAGGUUGAAUAAAACAAAGUUUGUUUUUGGUGCAAAUCCUAAAUUAGCUUCUAAGUUUGUCGAUCAGUGGACUCAAGUUUGAGCAGGAUCGUGAAUGGGUGUUGUCAAAAUUCUCACCUUCCUAUGGUUUUAGGUAAGGAUUUUGACUUAAUUAGGAACUUUAAAGAUAAGAGUAACAACCAAGGCAAUCCCAGACUGAUGAGGAUGUUUCAACAUUGAAGAUCAUAGGAGCAAACCAUUUUAAGUAAUAUUGAUGCAAUUCUUGUAUCUGCAAGAUUGGGAGCAACAUUUUCCAUGUUGUUUCCUCAAUACCUUAACAAGGGUGGGGUUUGAUCAUUGUCCAUUGCUAUUAAAUGAUGGGGCAAAUGACAAGAUGCAGUUAAUGUCAAGCAAUUUAGACCAAUUUGCUUACUGAAUGUUAGCUUCAAGAUCCUCUCUAAACCAUUGAUAGAUAGGCUUAUUGGGGUGGCUAGAAAACUAAUUGAUAAGUGUCAAACAACCUUUAUCAAGGGAAGAUAUAUACUUGAUGGUGGAGUGAUUUUACAUGCAACAUUACGUGAAAUGAAGAGGAAGAAGUUAAAAGGAGUAUUUUUCCAAGUAGAUUUUGAAAAGGCACAUGAUAGUGUCAUUUGGGUUUUCUAGAAGAGGUGUUGAUGAGAAAAGGAUUUGGACAAUAGAUGUUGACUGGAUAAUGAGUACAGUACAUAAUGGUAAGGUAUGUAUUAACAUCGAUGGUGUGAAUGAACCAUAUUUUAAAACACAUAGGGGCUAAGACAAGGAGACCCAUUACCACCUUUACUAUUUAAUUUAGUAGGGGACGCUUUAGCACACAUACUAAACAAAGCAAAGGAAAAUAAACACCUUGGGGUUUGGUUCCUAGUUCCUGGUGGUUUAACCCAACUUCAAUAUGCAGAUGAUACUAUCCAUUCUUGGAGUAUAAUGAGCACAACAUUACAAAUUUGAAGGUUCUAUUAUACUGCUUCGAAUGGCUGACAGGUCUUAAAAUCAAUUAUCAUGAAUUAGAAGUGGUGGUACUAGGGGUUUAAAAGGAAUACCAAAUCAGGGUGCCAAGUAUGUUAAACUGUCGAGUUAGGAUACUGUCUUUGACUAAUUCAGGGAUUCUAUUAUCUAAUGAUCAUGUAGGGAUUAGCUAUUUUAGUAGAAUGAUAAGGUAAAAUGGAGAAACGAAUCAACCUUGGUAGGGGAAGAACAUGACUUAAGGGGGUAGGCUAAUCCUAACAAACACUUCUCUUAGUAGUCUGCCUAUAUAUACUAUGGGGAUGUAUAAUCUAAAGCAUUGGCAGAGCUUGAAGGGGUUCAAGCAGGGGCCAACAGUAUUUAAAUCAUAGCUGAUGUGUAAACCUUUAUUACUUUCUAAACAUUAAUCAUAAAAUUAACCAUAGAUACCAUUAAAAUUCAAUUGCCAAGGGUGGGCCAUGGCCCACUUUGGCCUCCAUGUAGCUUCGCCACUUAUCUAAAGGAAGGGGUCCACCAACAAAUGGACAUAUUAGAGCCAAAUUCUUUUGGCAAGGGGCUAGUGAGAAAUCUAAAUAUCACAUGGUCAAAUAAGAGAAUGUGUUUACCUAAAGACUUUGGUGGGUUAGGGAUCAUGUAUACAAGUAUGUAGAGGAUGCUCAAAGCAAAUGAUAAUGUUGUCUAUUAUAACCUUUUGAAGAAGUACCUUAGAAGGAAAUCUUUCUCACAAUGUGAGUUUAGCAAUGGGUCUCUGUUCUAGAAGAGAUCUAUGAGAAGUCUGGGGUAUACUUAACUAGAUCUAUGUACAAAAAAUAGAAUGUUUAGAGGUGUUGUGAAUUGAACAAGAGGAUGGUCAAACUCUAAGCUCCAAUGAAAAUCCGAGUUUUCAUGUGGAUGCACAUUCAAAUUAAGCUGCAAAUUGGGGUGAAUCUGAAGAAAAAGAAGUGGAAAGGUGAUAGAAAUUGUUGUCUAUGUGGGUGUAAUAGAAACUAGUGAACACAUAUUAUUCAACUGUAUCUUGGCUAAAACUAUUUGAAUAUGUUUCAAAGAGGUUUUGGGUUGGGAUAAAUUCCCAACACAUUCAAGAAGUCUUUUAUCAAUGGAUUGCUUUACAUUCUCAUAACUAUCAUAUUAAGUUGUUCAUCUUUUCUAUUAUUAUAUGGAUGAUCUAGAAUAUCCAAAAUAGAAUGAGUAUACAAAAAGUCUUUUUGGGGUCAUUGAAUGAAACAUUUGACAAUAUUUUUUGCUCUAUUACAUAAAUGGUGCAUACUUUUGAAGGGGGAAGUUCCUAGAAGACUUGCUCAAGAGAAUGAAGACGAGGCUAUAGGAUUUCUAGCAACAAACUAAGAAUUUAGAAGUUUUUGAACCAUUGACAGGUGAGCCAUUACCUAUUUUUAUUUUUUAAUAACCUAGCCUAGAAAUUUGUUACCAUGGGGAUUUAAGAGAAUGUAGAAGUCAAAGGACUCAUUUGAAAAGAAGUUAGUUUUAUGUUAGCUUAGAGUUGUAGGCUCCAUUAGUUAUCUUUGCUGGCUUAUUGUUGUUAGCUUAGUUGGCUCUUGUUGUUUUCAGCUGGGUGCUGCUUGUUUUCUCUAGCUGCAAGUGUGGUUGGGUUGGGUAGGAUCUUUCUGUCUUGUGUAGCGUUUUGAAGUUGUUGAGUGGUAGUUGGCUCUUGCCGGUAAGCUAGCAUCCCGAGCAUACUUAAUGUUUUGUGUUGCUUUAUAAAAUAGGUUUUUCCUCCAGAGAAAAUCUCAUCAACCUUUGAUUUCUUUACAGCUAAGAUUUUUCUUUGUCUACUUCAAAUGGAGUAGGUAUAUACGACAAAAUGUAUUGGGAUUCUAAAAAUUGUGCAGCCAAACUAGUCUAACCUUGACUAAAAAUAAUAAUGGUGGCCUACAAUGUUUUUUGAAGGCUGAUAAUAUAAAAUAUUUCUUUGACUAAAAUUAAGAUGUCUUACCAAACUUCCAACCAAGAGAUGCAACCACCCCCAUGCCUGCAUUGAUUUUAAUGAUGAGCAUAUUAGUUGCUUAGUUAAUAACUUCAUUUACGUCUUCCUCCUUGACCCCCUAUAUAAGAUGCCCUGGUAAACCAUCAAAGCCCCACAACCAAAAAAUUGUCGAAGGGGCAAGGCACAAGUCUUUCAUCUUUUAAAUCUUCAGGUAAUUGAUUAUUAUAUGAUCUUGCAUAGCCUAAUGUGAAAAAUAUAUAUUUUGUUCUUUUUCCUGUAUAGUUGCAUGUCUUGUUUCACCAAACAUGAUAUAUCUAAUGGCGCCUAUCAAUCUUGGUCUUGUUUUGUGUGCUUAGCCAUGAGCUUGUGGAGGAACAAUAAGAAUGGUGGCUCUGCUGGCAGUAGUGCGAAAAGCACACCGUUGGACCUACAACUACGACUAGCACUACCAACAGAGAGGGUAGAGGUUGACCAUGGCAAUGAUAAUGAAUUGUCAUCAUCUAGCUCAUGUGUAUCAUCAAAUAUUUCAUCAGAUGAAAGCUUGGUGCUAGUGCUCGGUGGUUGUGCAUGGUGCAAGAGGUACUGCAUGGUAAUGAAGAAGGAAUUCCCCACCUGCAUCAACUGCAAGGAGCCCUGCCUUAUCGGCUUCAACUGUAACGAGAAACAUGGCUAGAGCAAGUAGAGGGUAGACCAACAUGUUAGAGGUCCUACCGCUAGGGAUGCUCAUGUUGAUGGUUAUUUGGACAUUGUGCUUGAUCUUGAGGCAUAUGGUAGAAAUGACCUUCAGUCAAUUUUGCAUUGGAUAUGGUCUAUUUGGUUCAGUAGAUAAGGCUAGCUAGCUAGUAGAGUCUAAGCUUAGUUUCCUAUAUGUUAUAUUUUUUAUGUCUUGUAUGGGGUAUGCACUAGGUGGUUCUUAAAUGAUUGUAAUUGUCACAGUGCUCUGAUUAUUGAGUUCUUUUAAAGAUUUGCUUCAAACAUGCUACUAUGAAUUUGAACAAAUUGUUGGGUUCUUCUAUGUUAUUUGGGGAAAAUAUUUCCCCGUGGGAUGGGGAUGGAGAUCUAACCCCCGAUGGGGAAUUCCCUGUUGACAUCUCUAUAGAUGUCACUUAGCUGUUAACUCUCUGUUAAAUAGUGCUGAAAAGGACAAGACUGCCCCUCUGAACAAGAUAAAUUUGGCUGUUCCUAUUCAUGCCAUUGUUUUAGAGGAUUAAAUCUAAAGUGAAUUUGCAAUCGCCCAUGUGACCAAAUAUGAAUUUUGAACAAAGUCUAAAUUUGGAGUCACCGAAUAUUUAUAACCAACAUGAACAUAUCAUUGUUUCAUAUCAGCAGUACAAAAGUCAAUAGUUUUCUAACUUGGUAGCAUAAUGUUUCCAUGAAACAUUGCAUAGACAGACCACAUCAUUUGUCAAAGUGGUUCAGAGGCCCAAGCAAAAAAAGCACAUGUUCAGGUACAUGUCACUAUGAACAGGUGCCCGAGCAAAAUAACUGCAGCUUCAGGUCACUAACUACAUACUAUGACCAUGCAAAACAGAUAAAGAACAAUUCGACAUUCAAUCUGUGUUUGAUUGAGCUUUUGAAAAGUGCUUUUGUUGGAAAAAAGCAGAAAGUCAACCAAACAGUUGAAACCUGAAGUUACUUUUUCCAUAAGCAGUUGCUCUCGUGUACUGCAGUUUUGAAAGCACCUUGAAUCCUGCUUUUGGCUUUUGGCUUUCUGCUUUUUAAAAUGGGUGAUAAUAGGGAGCUGUUUCACAGCUAUUUUAAUUGAGAUAGAGACAAAGAGUGGAUUUUAUACUUAUUUGAACCACACAGCUUGCAGCUAGCUUUUACAUAACACUUAGUUCACAACAGCUUUUUCAUGGCUCACAGCUCAUAACUCACAGCAACUUUUUCACAGCUCACAUCUUAACCAAACAGACCAUCAAUCUAGAACUUUCCUCUUAAUUCUUGUGCUGAGGGAAGGACUCCUAGUCUUGCUUCUUGUGCCCAUGGCAGGACUAUUUGGUUGCAUUGAAGCUUGCUUAUUCUUGCUCUUCUCUCCAGCCUUUGCCUUUACUUUGUCCUCUUCAUUCUCUCUUGGCUUGGAGGCAAGAACAACUGCAACGAGUGACCUAAAAGUAUUUUUUAUAUAUAUUAAUAGAAGAGAGAGAAAAGCUAGCUCUUGAUCAAGGGCUAGACUUAUACGUACAUUUCAAGAACACGUGAGUGUCAUGUGAGUCUAAUAAUACGAUGAGCCAUUACUAAAAGCUAACACUAUCGGAGAGGAUGGCUUCGAUCUAGUAACUUAUUCUUACUUUUGCUGGUUUCCUUAGGUUUAGUGUAGCUUUGCAUGAAGUUGGCACAACAGGAUACUCAAUCGAAAGUGGUUUAGGUUGAUUAGGGCCAUUUGCAAUGAAAAAACAACACAAAAAUUGACUAUUGCAAUUCACAAAGUUACCUUUAUUGUUACAUUCUAGGCAAUCUUAGAAACAUGUAUCCUUCGCUUACAUUUUGCUUCUUUCGUCGUUGAACGGUAGGCCCUGAUUCUCCAUGGUUCACUCUUUUAAGUGUUACAUUGGAAUUCAUUCUUGAUUUCUCGCUGAGGUAAUGCCAACUUCUAACCUGUUGGGAUUUAUGCUUCCUACCAUCUUUUUUCGCAAAGGGAAGGAGAGAUUUAUAUUAAAUCUUGACACGGUGCAUCCUCAAAUCACACAUGAAAGAAAAAUCUGAAAUAAAAAAUAAAUAAUAUUCUAUGCAAAUUCUUCUGUCAUCUUCUUCCUCAAUGGCUUUCCUCAAACGCCGGAGCCAAAGUGAAGCCUUUAUGUUGAAUUCAAAUGAGAUUGAUAACCCGGAGUCACUCCUCGUAGGGGCACCCAGAAGUAUCCCUCCCCUUGCAGAUAAAGGCCACAAAUUGACCGUCUGCCGAUGAAAUCUAUGCUUGCAAUGACAAUCUCGCCGUGGCAAUCACCGAAGGCAUCGUAGGACACAUGAUCCUGAUAAAAAAUCAUCUAAUUUCGUUGGAAAUUUAUUUGGGCUCAAUCCUUAGACACUAGAAAAGUACGAAAAAAAGAUGAGUCCCCUCCCCUUCUUGUCUCCGGUAGACACAUCGAAGAGGAAGGAGAUGGGCCCUAGGCGUGACGUCGUCAUCAGCGGAGCGAGGAGCAGGCAGGCUACGGUUUGACUCUUGGCGGCAGUGGCGUGAUAAGAUGCGGGCGUCUCUCCUACCGUCAUUGGAGGGUCAACUUUACCAUAUAAAACUGGUGUCUGCUAUAGAAGCUAUAGUAACACGCUGCACAGUGAUUGCAUUGCAGUGAUAGAUAAAAAAUUAAGUGUUAUGGCAGAUAAGGGAAGAUGACAAUUUUGGAUGGCGGAUAAUAUAAGGAAUGUACUCUUCAUUCAAUUCCUACAAAACAGCGCCUCAACAAUAUAUUUACAUUUGACAUAAGGCUGUUUGUUCGUCUAGUAACCGUACUCUGGCUAAUUUACAACUACUCUCACCAAGAAACAAAAUAUAUAAAUCAUGACUACAUUUCUGCAGUAUAUAAUUUGUGAAUAUAAUUUCUUCUUCAAAUAUAAGUAUGUCUAGUCAUGGCGACACAACCGACAACCGUCAUGGUUAUCCUAUUUCGGGGAGGGGGCAAGAAGGAAACGAAGAGUCACAUUUAUUCCAUGAAUGCGAGUCGACUGCUCUGCGGCUACCAUCUGGCCAUCUCCAUCUCCCAUCUCGCCAUACAGAGCAAGCCACCAAAGGCGCAAAGCUGAGCAGAGGGCAGAGCCACAGAGGCAGAGCGUGAGGCAAAAGUAAGCCUGCAAAGCCAUUGUGGCAAGGCGCCAAGGUACAUCUCCAAUGUCCACUACGUGUCUACGUUUAGUAGUUUAUUUAUUUAUUUAUUCAUUCCUUUCACUGUUUCACAGAACACAAACGGCUGUUAAUUCUAUCAUUUCUAUGGUUAACUUCCUUUUUUAAUUUUUACCUUCAAUUUAGGCAUUUAGCAUUUGAUCAAGAAUGCAAGAUGAAGAGAUCAAGAACGCUCGAUAGUUUUUUUAAGCCGAGUUCAAGCAAUGGCAACGGUGAAAACACUAGCAAUCAAUAACAAUGAUGUGUUGUGCCGAACUCUCCAGAAGAAAUGUCUACAUAUUGUAAAUGCAAUUGACUGCGUUUCUAACACAAAAUCAUUGUCUAGCGACUUGAAAUGAUGACUGGGAACCACUUCUUGAGGAGGUCAACGCUUUUCGUGACAAGCACGAGUUGAGAUUCCAGAUUAUCGCAAGUAAGUUAUUAUCUUACCUUCAGUUUUUUUAAUAUGAGCACAAAUACAUUUUUUUAUUCUUAUGAUACAUAUCUAACUUGUUUAACAUGAGCACUUGGGAUACCAAGCUAGUGAAGGACCUGUUUUGGGAAGAAGUGCUGAACAUUUUGGCCACCCCGGUGCAUACUGAUCGAGAAGAUACUGUGGCAUGGCACUUUGAUCAGAAAGUUUUUAUUUUCGGUCAAAUCGGCUUACCAUGUGCUGGAGGAUGAAGCUGAGAUUAAGCGAGUCCGACAGAGAGGUGAAUCAUCUAGACCACCAAACAGUGCUGGCAGCAAUAUUUGGAAGAAAAUAUGGAAACUCCCUGGACCUCCUAAGAUCAAGCAAUUUGUGUGGAGGGUUGCUCACAACAGCUUGGCACUCAAACAAAACAUUAGCAGGCGUGGAAUUCGACUGGAUACUAGAUAUCCGGUGUGUUUCCAUUUCGAUGAGGAUGGUGGUCAUUGUUUUUUGAAGUGCAAAGCUAUCCGGCAGUGUUGGAGGGAGUUGGGAAUUGAGAAGUUCAGACUUCAGUUUCUGCAAACCAGAACAGCUGAGGAGUUUGUAACAGAAGUGUUGAAACUGAGAACUGAUGUGUUGGAACCAAACUCGUGAUGAACAAGUCUGGCGGCGGCGGGUCACCGGCAGGUGGUGAACACGCGGCGGCUAAAACCCUACGGCGAGCUCUGUGCGCGAACAGAAAAUAUGGAAAGCAACAAGACACCGAGAUUUCGUGCCAAAUGCGGGCACCUCGCCAAUGCAAUCUUUGUUGGUUUAUAUAUGGCCUGAGGCCUUACACCCCGCCGCCACGACGCCUCCAACGAUCCUCCGAUUUUCCGGAACGCCGCUGGGACAUGCAAGACGACGUCGCGACGGGGACACAAUGCAGUGCGCGGUCACCGCGUGGUUCUUGCACAUCUUCGAACCACCGGCGAUAUCUACGCGCCUAACCAACUACGUUACAUAAAACUUCGACAGGAUUACAUGAAUGAAACACAAAGCUAAAGCUAACAAAUCACCCCCUAAUCCUGACGAACUAGAACGACGCCGAGCUUGACUCUGAAUUCCGCAAACUUCAUUCUCCCCAAGGGCUUCAUCAGAAUGUCAGCAACCUGCUCGUCUGUUCUUACAUGGUCCACAUCCAGGACGUUCUUCUCAAUGCAGUCACGAAUGUAAUGAUACCGUGUAUCAAUGUGCUUACUGCGAUCAUGAAACACUGGGUUCUUGGCUAGCUCGAUAGCAGACUGGUUAUCGAUGAGAAGUCUGAAUUUCUGAACUUCUCCUCUAUCAGCCGACUGAGCCACACUCCCUGACAGGCUCCCAAUGCUGCAGCUAUGUACUCAGCUUCACAAGAAGAUAGAGCCACGACCCUUUGUUUCUGUGAAGCCCAGGUCACCAAAUUUGAUCCAAGGUAGAAUAUGAUGCCUGAAGUACUUUUCCUAUGCACCAAGUCACCUUGACAGUCACUGUCAGUAUAACCAAGCAGGUUCAGACCAACAUCAUCUCCUUUCUGAAGCUUGCAUCCAUAGUCCAGAGUUCCUGCAAUGUAUCUCAGGAUUCUUUUGACCAAGGACCAAUGCUCCUUUGCUGGUUCCUUGAGAAAUCUACUGGCCACACCAACUGAGUAAGCAAUGUCAGCUCUGGUGUUAACUAAGUAUCUCAAACUGCCCACCACACUCCUGUAUCUUGUCACAUCAAGUUCAGAGCCAGGUACUGCAGUAGUGAGUCUCAUUCUUUCCUCCAUUGGAGUGUCAACAGGAUUGCAUCUUGCCAUGUUGCAUGAUUCUAGGAUCUUCAAAGCAUAUGCUCUCUGACAGAUAGUAAUAUGGUCUUUGCCUUGAUUCACUUCCAUGCCCAAGUAAUAACUCAAUAGUCCCAGAUCACUCAUGCUGAAAAUUGCCUUCAUCUGAUCUUUGAACUGAGCUAUCAAUUUACUGCAUGGACCACAUAUUAUUAGAUCAUCAACAUAAACUCCAACUAGAAGUAAAGAGGCUCCUGUUCCUUUCUUAUAGACUGCAUGCUCUACAAUGCUUCUCUGAAAACCCAUUGCUUUCAAUUCCAGAUCCAGCCUUGCAUUCCAGGCUCUGGGAGCCUGUUUGAGUCCAUACAGUGCUUUAUUCAACUUCAACACCUUGCCAGGGAGAGCUGCAUCAGUGAAACCUGGUGGUUGAUGGACACACACCUGCUCCUGGAGAUCACCAUUUAGGAAUGCUGAUUUCACAUCCAUAUGAUGUACUUGCCAAUCUCCAUGUGCUGCAAGAGCUAACAUUAGCCUCACUGUCUCAAUCCUUGCAACUGGUGCAAAAACCUCAUCAUAGUCUACUCCUUGCUUCUGUGCAUAGCCUUUGGCCACCAGCCUAGCUUUAUGCUUAACUAUCUUCCCUGCUGCAUCUCUUUUGACCUUGAAAACCCACUUCAGGCCAAUUGCUCUGACACCUUUAGGCAGAUCUGUCAGAGUCCAGGUGUUGUUCUCUCUGAUGGCUUUUAGCUCAGCCUCCAUAGCAUCCCUCCAGCAGGAUUGUCCGAGAGCUUCUUCAACACUAAAUGGCUCAUCAGCAGCAAGCAGACAAGUAGCACUAUACUCAUAAUUCUCCACCUCAUCAGUGUGGUCAAAUAGGUCUUGCAGAGUUCUGUACCUGAGUGGAACUCCCUCUGAGUCAGCCUCCUGCCCAUGUGGAGGUGUGACCCACUGAUGAUCUGGUUGAGCUGCUGGAGGUGUGUUCAAACCUGCAGAUCCCUGGACACUCCCAGGUGGCGUUUGGGGCCAAUUAGGUGCUGCAUUACCGUUACCAGGGCUGCCAAGGACUAGUUCUGCAUCAUUCUCCCCUGUUGCCGGAUCUGCAACAGUACCAGGAAAAUCAACAAUGAACUGAUCUGGUUGAUUCUUUCCUGUAGCAAAACUGGUCCAAUCCCAGGCUUGAUCUUCCUCAAAAAUCACGUCCCUGCUAAUAUGCAGACUUUUUGUGACAGGUUCCAGCAUCCUGUAGCCUUUAGUCCCUUCUUCAUAUCCUAUGAACACCAUUUUCUGGGAUCUGUCAGAUAGUUUAUGAAUGCCAGGUCCUAGUUUCUUCACAUGACCGAUACAUCCAAAAAUUCUCAUGUGCUUCACACUGGGUUUCCUUCCAUGCCAUGCCUCAUAUGGUGUGACACCAUUUAGGCUCUUAGUUGGAGAUCUGUUAAGCACAUACACUGCAGUUGCUACUGCUUCUCCCCAAAGACAGGCUGGAACCUUCUUACUCUUCAUCAUGCACCUAGCCAUUUCAACCACCGUUUGAUUUCGGCGUUCCACCACUCCAUUCUGCUGGGGAGUGUAGGGAGUGGUGGUGUGGUGCUUUAUGCCAAACUCACUGCAGAAAACACUGAACUGGGUAGAAUUAAAUUCACCCCCCCUGUCAGUCCUCACAGCCUUGAGCUUGCUUUCAGAUUCAGUCUCAGCUCUAUUCUUCACCUUCUUGAAAUAAGCCAGUGCCUCACUUUUGGUCUUCAACAUCUCCACCCACAUAAAUCUGCUGUAGUCAUCCACAACCAGCAAGAAAUAUGCCUUCCCACCUAAGGUUGGUGGGGUUAUCUGACCACACAGAUGAGUAUGGAGUAGUUCAAGUCCCUUCUCUGCACGAUAAUGAGCAACGCUUGGAAAAGGAAUUCUGUGCUGCUUGCCUACGACACAGCCAUCACAGACCUGCUCAACUCUAUUGAUCACAGGAAUGCCAGACACCAUGCCCUUUCGACCAAGAUCCCUCAAAGAUCUGAAAUUCAAAUGGCCAAAUCUUGCAUGCCACUUCCAAGCAUCAUCAUCUAGCUUACUCAACAAACACACUGGUGAAGUUAAACUGAAACUAUGAGUAUACAGGCAAUUUGCAGUUCUAGGAGCUGAGAUUAGCAAGGUGUGUCCAUCUAGAUCAAAAACAUUGCAUCUUCCAUCUUUCAAUGACACUUCAAACCCCUUCUCUUCAAGCUGGCCUAAACUGACUAUGUUACUUUUUAACUUGGGAAUAUAGUAAAUGUCAGUUAGUACCUUGUGCUCCUGCCGACGUCCCUGAAUCACCAUGGAUCCAAGUCCCUGUAUCUCCACACUAGAACCAUCACCAAACUUGACAGUCCCACGAAUCCUUUCAUUCAGAUGAGUAAGUGCUGCACGACAGCCUGUCAUGUGAUUGCUAGCUCCUGUGUCUAGCACCCACACACCUUCUGGACAAUCUACAGGCACCACCCUGUUUUCUGUCAGAUGCACCUGCUCAACUGAAUCAGCAGUGACAUUACAGGCCACAGCAACAAACAGAGCACCAUUGUGCUCAGCUCCACCCACUGCAACAUUAGCCUCCGGCUGCUUCUCUUCUUUCUUCUGCUUCUUGGGUCUUUUACAAUCUUCAGCCCAGUGACCAUACAUGCCACAGUUUCUGCACCUCCCUUUGCGGCGAGGUGUUCCUUCUGAAGUUAGCUUCACAGUGCCGGCGUUCUUGGGCCCUCCACCAUCUGAUCGAUGCGGCUGCUUGCCCUUUCCUUGCCCAGCUGCACUGCUACCUCCUUCUCGGCUCUGAGUGGGUUGGAAACGGUGCUUGUGUUUCUCAAGCCACUCUUCUUCUGCAAGCAUCAAACGCCCCAUCUUAUCGGUGAUUUGAUCCUCAGUGCUGACAAAACGAUCCUCGGCUACACGCAGUCGUCCAACCAAUUCCUCCACUGUCAGGGUUUUCAAAUCACAGAACAUCUCAAUAGAUACUGCAACUUGAUUGAAUCUGGCUGGUAACACACGCAGAAAUUUCUUGACAACACGAGGUUCAUCAAUUGUCUCACCGAGGGUUUUGAGGGUGGUGACGAGGUUCACGAUUCGCAUGCCGAAGUCCUCCACGCUUUCCCCGUCCUUGAACUCGACAUUCUCGAAUUCCUUGAUGAGCUUCUGGACAUUGAUCUCCUUCACGCGAUCCGCACCGACCUUCAUGGUCUUCACCGCCUCCCACGCUUCUUUCACCGUCUUCUUGGCGCCAAGUGCUCCCCACAUCUCCUUGGGGACUGAUCUCAUCACCGCACCCAUCGCUUGUCGAUCUUCGGCUCUCUUGACGUUUGUUCCGGGAUCUAUUGUAUCCCAGAUCUCGAGAGCCUCAAGAUUGAUUUGCAUCAGCAUAGCCCACUCUACAUAGUUUGAGCGGGUUAGCAUCGGCCAAAUCAACGAACUCUCCUUGACACCGCUGGACUUCGAGGUUUCGCCUCCUGUCAUCUCCUUCCUUCUUCUUUUCGCCUAGCACUGCUGUACCGUGAUCGAUUCGAGACCCACGGCUCUGAUACCAGAUGUUGGAACCAAACUCGUGAUGAACAAGUCUGGCGGCGGCGGGUCACCGGCAGGUGGUGAACACGCGGCGGCUAAAACCCUACGGCGAGCUCUGUGCGCGAACAGAAAAUAUGGAAAGCAACAAGACACCGAGAUUUCGUGCCAAAUGCGGGCACCUCGCCAAUGCAAUCUUUGUUGGUUUAUAUAUGGCCUGAGGCCUUACACCCCGCCGCCACGACGCCUCCAACGAUCCUCCGAUUUUCCGGAACGCCGCUGGGACAUGCAAGACGACGUCGCGACGGGGACACAAUGCAGUGCGCGGUCACCGCGUGGUUCUUGCACAUCUUCGAACCACCGGCGAUAUCUACGCGCCUAACCAACUACGUUACAUAAAACUUCGACAGGAUUACAUGAAUGAAACACAAAGCUAAAGCUAACAAAUCACCCCCUAAUCCUGACGAACUAGAACGACGCCGAGCUUGACUCUGAAUUCCGCAAACUUCAUUCUCCCCAAGGGCUUCGUCAGAAUGUCAGCAACCUGCUCGUCUGUUCUUACAUGGUCCACAUCCAGGACGUUCUUCUCAAUGCAGUCACGAAUGUAAUGAUACCGUGUAUCAAUGUGCUUACUGCGAUCAUGAAACACUGGGUUCUUGGCUAGCUCGAUAGCAGACUGGUUAUCGAUGAGAAGUCUGAAUUUCUGAACUUCUCCUCUAUCAGCCGACUGAGCCACACUCCCUGACAGGCUCCCAAUGCUGCAGCUAUGUACUCAGCUUCACAAGAAGAUAGAGCCACGACCCUUUGUUUCUGUGAAGCCCAGGUCACCAAAUUUGAUCCAAGGUAGAAUAUGAUGCCUGAAGUACUUUUCCUAUGCACCAAGUCACCUUGACAGUCACUCAUACCUCAAGAUUAAUAUGGAUGGUGCCUUCAAGCAGGAUUCCAGGGCUGGCGCUUGGGGCUUUAUAAUCUAGGACCAUGAGGGUUAUGCUGUCCUGGCGGGGGCGGGGAACCUCGGUCCGGUGCAUGAUGAUGCCCUGCUCGCAGAGACGAUGGCAUGCAAAUAGGCACUAGAAGCAGCGGAGCAUUUCGGUGUUUCCAGGUGGUGCUCGAUCGAGACCGACUCCUCCCAGCUGAAUGAUGUGAUCACUUCGUCAUCUAGUGACUUAUCUAUUGGUGGUGGUCUAUUUACAGACAUCCGUAGUAUUCUCCAGGAUAGCUUUAAUUGCAUAAAUAUUUGUAAGAUUCUGAGAUUAUGUAACUCGUCUGAGCACGAGCUUGCUAGUUUGGGUAUGAGUUGGGACCUAGGUCAGUUAUGUGUAUGGACUGAUCACCUCCCUGAUUUUGUAACUCAUUGGAUUGCCCGUGAUUUGGCUAAGCUUCAGUCGCUUAAUACAAGGCCAUAGAUCCUGGUUAAGGAUAAAAAAACUUGUUUAACUACAUGUCGCAAUUUGUAGGCAUGUGGAUGUGACCAAAUCUUAGAACAAAAAUGAUAAUACCACCACUCUUCCUAUUAUAAAAUAGAUAUUUUUAAUGUUACCAUGACCAACAAUUGAUAGAGUUGGAAGUUCGUUUCAGUUCUCAAACAACAAAGCUUCUAUCACUUUGUGCCUCACUAGAUCCAAGAAAAGAUGGUUUUGACAUUUGAAAGAUAAGUACACUUGUGGAAAAGUACUAUCCCGCUGAUUUUUAAAGUUAAGAUCAAGCUCAAUUGGAGUGUCAACUACCACAAUUUCAUCUUGAUGUAUGCAACCAUCUAGAGCUAAGUACAUGGCAUCACUUGCUGAUAUAAACCAUCUACUUGGGACUAGUGAGAUUAGGUAAAAAUUCUAUUUGUCGAAUGGAUGAUAGAUUGCUAAGAUUAGUCAUAACUCUUCCAGAAUCAAUAGUGACUAUUGAGAGUCUUUUCAGCCAUGAAACUUUCCAAGAUAGGAUAAAAUGGGAGAUGGCGUUUUGCAAAGCUAUAGUUUAUAUUAAAAAGGAAUUGGCAGCCAAGAAUAGUUCCAGUGAUAUUAUCAAAUCACUACCCCAGCAAACUUUUUUUGUGACAGAGGAAACCGUCAGGAAAGGUACCGAAAACCGUCAGGAAAGACUUUUCGUGACGGCCCCGUCAGGGAUAAUCCAUCAGGACCAACUGUCACGGAAAGUACACCUUCCCUGACGGAAAACCGUCAGUAAUCAUUCCCUGACGGUAGUAACCGUCAGAAAAGAAUUUUUGUGUCGUUUUUCCCGCUCCCGUAAAAUGUUUGUUGUCGGUUCCACUACCGUCAGGGAAGGUGGAGACUUUCCCUGCCAGUUAUGGUACCGUCAGGGAAGGUUCGUGCUUCCUGUUAGUAAGCUCAAUUUUUAAUAUCAAUAAGCUCAUUGAACUAUGGUCUAGUUGGUAAUCAUCGUGCUAAAUUCAAGUUAGUGGAGAUGUAAUGAAAGUACCUUCUUUUAUGUUACUAGACGUAUGCUACAUUACUUUGCUAUAUGUGUUAUGAUUGAAUUUAUACGAUAAUAUAUAUGUGUAUGAUUAGAAAUAACAUGCUAGCCAGUGCUUUCCUAUCACCGCAUGUUGUCACCAUCCACAUCCAUGCCAAACAAACAACUUCCAAAAUGCAUCACCACCUGUCAAUUUGACCAUGAGUUGAGGCUGCCGUCUUCAUCCACGACGUCUUCCAGCCACACCGUCGAACCUAGCCAUCACCCGACCCCGCCACCAGCCGUCAUCAAUCGAAUCUCCAUGUCUAGACAGAUCCAUGUUGAUUGCAGUCCAUUGGAUGGUUCAAGUCACCCACUCAAAGUUUCCAAAUCCAUGGAUCAAGUCAUUGAUUGCCGCCAUGCUCCACCUUGUGCCAUGUCCUUCCCUAGACACACCUGUGUGAGGCUUGCACAUAGUGGAACAUAACCAUCGCACCUCUCAUGAUCUUCUUCUAUGAAUCUGAAUCUUGAUACCACUUGGAUUGGAUCCGCUGCACACUCUAACACUCUAGAAGAGCUAUUCGGCAAGCCACCAUCUUUGCACACUAGGCAUCAUGUACAACAUCUAUUGAUCCAGCACCGACCAUGACCACUGAGCCUUGAUGAUCACGAGCAAUAAAACCCCAAUCGCCCUUGUACUUACUAAAAGGCUCAGACUUGGCCUAAAGGCAAAACAAUGGUUCACACCCACCCGGUAGUUAUCUUCAAGUCGUCGUCUACCUCCGUGAGAAAUAAAAAAUAACACAUGCAAAACCAUGGCCGCCGCACAAGGUGAGAGAGAGAAGGGAGGUUCACUAGUGCAAGGAGGUCUGGCGGCCGCCAGACCAUGCCAUAUUGGUGGACUUGUGCUAAUCAAAAUAAUCACACACUAUUAGCAUCCCAAAUUACCUUGAGUGUCCAAAACCGCCAAGGAAAAUACCUAAUCCACCAAGAAAAUGAUCCUUGGCCACAAAUUGUCAAUCAAACUCCAUCAAGGAUAGAAGAUAAGAGAAAUUGGUUUCCUUAGCUUUUUUGACAAUUAAGGAUGAUUUCCUCCGGCCACCAAGGAAACUAGGGCCACAUCUAAUUCGCCAAAGGGAUAAGAAAAUGUUGCAACCGCCAAGUAAAUUAGUUUUCUUGAGGGCUAGCAUCCUUCAAAAAAAUAUUUGUAACCAUAUAGGAAAUAGUUUUCUUGAGGGCCAGCAACCUCCAAAGUAAUAUAGAGUAAGAGCAAUAAAUAAAUGAGUGAAAGCCCAAUAUAAUAAUGUGCCUUAUGGGAUUCAAACAUGUGGCCUGAUGCUUCGAGUUGAAGCACACUCACCACUGCACCUCAGAGUAACUUGUGACUAAGUGAAUUAUUGUUUUUAUUUUGUAUUCACUUUAUGAAAUCUUAUAAUGCAUAUUUUGUGGUCCUAAACAAUUUUAAAUGUAAAACAUUUGAACUGAAAAAGUUUUAGAACUUGAUGAAUACAACAACAUUGGUUUAGGACGAAUUUUCAUCCGAGGUUAUUUGAAAAAUCAAAUAAAUUUGAAUUUUAAUGCUAUGAGUAUUUUCUUGGGGGUUUCCAAUUGCACCCAAGAAAAUAUGAAUUACCUUGCUGGUUUCGAAAACCACUCAAGGAAAUACAAAUUACCUUGACGGUUUUGAAUAGCACCCAAGGAAAUGAGCAAUUACCUUGCCGAUUUGUAAUAACACUCAAGGAAACAUGGAAUUCCCUUGGAGGUGAUUAGAAACUGCCAAGGAAACACCCAUAUUCUUUGGCGGGUUACUUCAACAUCUAAGGAGUACACGUUUCCUUGAAGUUCAGUAACACUCCCAAGAAAACUUUACUUUCCUUGGCAGUUUUGCUUUUGACCCUCAAGAAAAUUCCUAGCACUAAAGGUAAUUCAGGAUUGCGAUAGUGACAAGUUGGUCUUCUUUGGGGUUGCAGCCACUAUUUGGGCAAGCAUAAUGAUCUUAUUUUUGAGAAAAAAGGUGCCACCUCCUUUAUGUAUAGGCUAGCUUUAGAAGAACAUGUUGGCUGUGUUUUUGGGUAUUGCUGCAGCGUGAGGACACAAGGGAGACCACCUGAUCGGUGAACAAAGCUUUGUAAUCGUUGCUUUAGAUAUUUUCGCCAAGAAUAGAUGUAGAAACAAUAAUAGAUUUUUUUUAUUUUCCCUAUAAUUUUGUAUUCUCUUGCCGGUUGGAUUGUAAUCACCAGAUGAGCUGAAAACUUUGCAAGGACUUGGUUGUGCGUCUCACUCUGCUAGUGGGCUGUAAUCCAAUCUGCUAGUGGGCUGUAAUCCAAUCUAUACCCACACCAAUCCACGUUUCAGCAUGCAGCUUGUGUCACCAGACUAAAUUAAUCCAAGCAAUGGCGGGAACCAAACUAUUUGGCAAAUAGUCUCUACAUGAUAUAAAACAAACCCAAUCCAUGUGCCAACCCAUGGGUCCUAUCCAUUAGAUACUAAUUUACUUAUCCACGGUUGCGCUGCAUGACUCAAGACACUGCAGACGCAAGCAAGGAAGCAACCUAAAUGAUUAACUAAUUUUAAAAAAUAGCAGCAGGAAAGCUAUUAAUAGCCAAAGAGAAUGGAUUAUACAAUUCUAAAUUAGGUGAAAGAAGACUUUGACAAAUUAAGAGACAAAAAUUACAGCUCCAAACAAAUUAGGAAACUAGACAUAAUUUAUACAUCAUUUUUUUUGUUGAGAAUGGUGCUAAUGAAAAAAUAGACUCAACAUGCCAAGCAUAACUCCAUCCAGCUAAAGCUUCAUUGAAAGUUCAGUGAUCCGCUUCCUGAAUUGUCCCUUUGUAGUGAUACCAGCACAACUUCUCAGCUAUAUCAUGAACUGCUGAAGAUGAAAAAUAUAACUGUAAGAACAUUAUGCCGGAAGAAAAUAGUCUCUACUCUACAUGAUAUAAAAGCAUAGUCACUAUAAUUAUUUAAUCAUUGGCAUUCUAUAAUUGCAAAGCUCUGGGAGACUAAAGUUUCAGUUUCUGUGUAAUCUAUAAUGAACAGUUGUUGUGCAAAUGCAGAGUUCUGAAUUUGAACUUUUCCUACCACAACAUGGAACCUGAAAUCUGAACUAUAUGUUAGAUGUAUAUAUGUGAUAUUGUAUUUUCUCUUUUUUGGAGGUUCUCCUUGUAUAUGUACACAACAUGUAUACUUGCCCCUUUGGGCCUAGAAUAUGAAGUUAGUUGACCACUUAUUCUAACAUGGUAUCAAGCUAGGGUUCCAAUCCUCACCUUGCUCCCGCCGGCGCCAGCAACCCGCCCACACCCGCGCGCCUGCUGCCCGCCCUCGCCUGCAGCCUCGCGGAGAGCUUGCCGGCGGCCUUGCGGUCCGCGCGCCGGCGCCCGUCCACCCCUGCUCGUCCGACGCGGCCUCGCCCGGCGUCCGCCCUCGCCCCGACGCGGCCUCGCGAAGGGCGAGCCGGCGGCCUUGCGGUCCGCGCGCCGCGCCUCUGCUCGUGCGCGCCAGGCCGGCGUCCACCCUCGCCCCGACGCGGCCUCGCCCGGCGUCCGCCCUCGCCUGCGGCCUCGCGGAGGGCGAGCCGGCGGCCUUGCGGUCUGCGCGCCGCCCGCCCAGGCCACCGCGGCCUCGCCCGUUGCGGCCCGCGCGUCCUCUGUCUGCGUUCGGCUGCUUCUCCUCUCUUCCCAAAAAAAAAAAAAAACAGCCGAGAGGGGAAGCAGGACACGGUUUGUUUCCAUGGCGUCCCCCAGCCGCACUCGUCCGGGUGCCAUUCCUGUUCCCAAGUGUCCAGUCAUCUUCAAUGGCACAAACUGGGCCGAUUUUGUUUUUCAUAUGGAGGUGCACAUGGAUGGGCAGCUGCUGUGGAACUACCUUACGGGCGAUCUGAUCUGUCCUACUAUUCCAAUUCUUCCUAAGCAGCCCACCUAUCCUCCAGAUGCUGAUGAUGCAGCCAAACAUGCUCUCCUUGAUGCAUUUGAGGCUGAGAUGGAGACCUAUCAAUCUGAUCUUGGCGUCUAUGAGACUUGGCUGCGUGAGGAAAAAUCGGCCAAGGCCAUCUUACUUGCAAGCAUAGAGAUUGAUCUUGCACGCUCCCUCAGAGGUCUUGCCACCUCCCACCUCAUGUGGGAAUAUCUUCGUUGCAGUUAUGAGAUCCGCAAUGAGGCGAUGUACCUUGCUGUUGUUGAGGAGGCACAGUCACUUCGUCAGCUUGAUUCUACAGUUGACGACUUCCACCGCAAGAUGACUGAUGUCUGGCAUCGCCUAGACAAUUUGGGGGCCGAGUUCUGUGGUGGUGGUACUUGUCGGUGUUGUGACCGGCACCGGGAGCAGCGCGACACACUCCGUCUCCACGAGUUUCUCUCUCGGCUGCGUCCAGAGUUUGAGACUGUUCGGGCACAGCUACUGACUCGUCGCCCGCGCCCGUCGCUUGCCGAGGCGAUGCCUGAGCUGCGAGCUGAGGAGACUCGUCUUCGGACUGGAGGGGUCAGCCAUCCUCAACUGCAGCCGGCUGUUCUGGUGGCUACACCCCCACCAGUCUCCCUACCUUCGCCCCAGUCUGCGGUGGUGGCGGGGGUCCCCUCUGGUGUGCGGUGUGACUACUGCAAGAUUUAUGGUCAUGAGGAGAAGGAUUGUCGUAAGAAGCAGCGCAACCGCUAUGACGCCGUGAUCGGCGCCACUCUUCAGGCUCUGGUGGUUCCUCUACUCCGCAGGGCACUCGUUCUGUGUCUGCAGCCGAGCAGGAGGUUCUUGCUCUGUUCCGCCGCCUCACUACUGCAGCUCAGGCUCACGGGACUACAGCUCAGGCCUCUGGUUCCACACCUCCUCCUCCUCCGCCAUCAGGUACAUCACCACCGUGGUUUCUUGAUUCUGGUGCCUCUUUCCACAUGACACCCCAUACCACCCAUUUGUCCUCCCUCUCCCUGUCAUCUUCUGAUUCACCCAUCCUUGUUCGCACUGCUGAUGGCACUUCUCUUCCUGUUACUGGGAGAGGUGUUCUUUCGACUUCUUCCUUUGAGGUUCCUAAUGUUUCGCAUGUUCCUCACCUCACCAUGCAACUUCUUUCUGCGGGACAAAUUACUGAUCAUGGUUGUCGCAUUAUUCUUGAGUCUGAUUCUUGCUGUGUUCAGGAUCUUCGUACGGGCCUUUUGGUGGGAACUGGGCCUAGGCGUCGGGACUCACAGCGUCUUUGGGAGCUUGAUUGGUUGCGCCUUCCUUCAUCUGUUUUGCUCCCUCCAACACCUGGUUCUCCGGCGUCGGCAUCAGCUGCCUCAUCCACUACCUCUUUUGUCCAGUGGCAUCGUCGUCUUGGUCAUCUCUCUGGUGCUCGAUUGUCUAGUCUUGUUGGUAGUGGUGUAUUAGGCCCUGUUUCUGGUGACACUACUCUGCAUUGUACGGGUUGCAAGCUUGGCAAACAGUUGCAACUCCCCUAUUCCUCUAGUGAGUCCAAGUCCCAGAAACCUUUUGAUCUUGUUCACUCUGAUGUAUGGGGUCCUGCACCCAUAACUUCAAAAGGAGGGCAAUCCUAUUAUGUUCUGUUUAUUGAUGACUAUUCGAGAUUUACUUGGAUUUAUCUGAUGUCCUCUCGAGGCCAAUUUCUUUCUAUUUACCAACAAUUUGCUACCAUGGUUCGUACACAGUAUAACUCUCCCAUUCGUGUUUUUCGUGCGGACUCUGCUGGUGAGUACAUUUCCACUGCCCAUCGCUCCUACCUUGCUGAGCAGGGUACUCUUGCCCAAUUUUCAUGUCCUGGUGCUCAUGCUCAGAAUGGUGUUGCAGAGCGCAAGCAUCGCCACAUUCUUGAGACUGCUCGUGCUCUUUUGAUAUCCUCUGCCCUUGCUCCUCAUUUCUGGGCCGAGGCUGUCUCUACGGCGGUUUUCCUCAUCAAUCGCCAACCCUCCACCUCUCUUCAGGGUAGCACUCCCUAUGAGCGUCUCUUCAGCAGCCCUCCUUCCUAUGCUCAUCUCCGUUGUUUUGGUUGUGUCUGUUAUGUUCUACUUCCACCUCGUGAGCGCACCAAACUCACUGCUCAGUCUGUCGAGUGUGUUUUCCUUGGGUACAGUACGGAGCAUAAGGGCUAUCGGUGUUAUGACCCUGUUGCUCGGCGGAUGAGGAUCUCUCGGGAUGUCACCUUUGAUGAGUCCCGCCCUUACUAUCCUCGUUCUCCCUCCGGUCAUCCUAACACCGUUGAGUCCCUCUCUUUUCUUACUUUACCUGAUUGGUAUCUUCCUCUGUCUCCCUCCUCGACACCUCCUUCUAUUUCUCCAUCCUCGCUAUCUCCUUCUUCAUCCACUCCACCACCGCCACCACCACCACCACCACCACCAGUAGCCUCUCCACCCCCGUUGUGUUCUUCCCGUGAGAUCACUCACGUCUAUACUCGUCGUCCACGUCCUGCUCCACCCAUUGACUCUUCUCCGUCCCUCCUUGGCCCUAUUCCUGGGUCUCCUCCUCGCUAUGAUCUUCGUGAUCGCAGCACCCUUCGUCCUCCCAGGCGCUUUGGUUUCACCGCUACUGUUUUAGCUGAGCCCGCGACCUAUCGGGAGGCUGCUCAUCAUUUGGAGUGGCAGCAUGCUAUGGCUGAGGAGAUUGCAGCCCUUGAGCGUACUAGCACCUGGGAUCUUGUUCCCAAACCACCACAUGUCACUCCUAUCACUUGCAAGUGGGUUUACAAGGUCAAAACUCGCUCUGAUGGUUCUCUUGAGCGCUACAAGGCUCGCCUUGUGGCUCGUGGUUUUGAGCAGGAGUAUGGGAUUGACUACGAGGAGACGUUUGCUCCUGUUGCUCACAUGACCACUGUUCGGACCCUUCUAGCUGUUGCCUCCGUUCGUCAAUGGUCAAUUUCGCAAUUGGAUGUCAAGAACGCCUUCCUAAAUGGCGAGCUUCGUGAGGAAGUCUAUAUGCAGCCACCCCCGGGUUACUCUGUUCCUGCUGGAAUGGUCUGUCGGCUGCGUCGUUCCCUCUAUGGUCUCAAACAAGCUCCUCGCACCUGGUUUGAGCGUUUCUCCUCUGUUCUCAUUGCUGUAGGCUUCAAGCCUAGUGAUCAUGACCCUGCUCUCUUUGUUCACACGUCCUCUUCUGGUCGUACCCUUCUUCUCCUCUAUGUUGAUGACAUGAUCAUCACGGGAGAUGACUCCCAAUUUAUUGCUUUUGUGAAGCAGCACCUCAGUGAGACCUUUCUUAUGUCUGAUUUGGGUCCUCUUCGUUACUUUCUUGGUCUUGAGGUUACUUCCACCUCUGAUGGUAUUUUUCUUUCCCAGGAAAAGUACGCUCAGGACCUCCUCUCACGUGCUGCUCUCACUGAUCACCGUACUGUUGACACUCCUAUGGAGCUGAAUGUUCACCUCCGACCCACUGAUGGUGUUCCUCUUGCUGAUCCUACUCGCUAUCGCCAGCUUGUUGGGAGCCUUGUUUAUCUUGGGAUCACUCGCCCGGACAUCACACAUUCUGUUCAUAUCUUGAGUCAGUUUGUCUCGGCUCCUACCCAGCUCCACUACUCUCACCUUCUUCGCGUUUUGCGAUACCUUCGUGGCACCACCAGCCGUCGCCUUUUCUUUCCUCGCUCUAGCUCACUCAAGCUCCAGGCGUACUCAGAUGCCACUUGGGCAAGUGAUCCCACUGAUCGCCACUCUCUUUCUGCUUAUUGUGUUUUCCUUGGAUCCUCCUUGAUUGCCUGGAAAACCAAGAAGCAAACUGCUAUAUCCCGCUCGAGUGCUGAGGCUGAACUGCGUGCUAUGGCAACUGUGGCUGCUGAGGUAACAUGGCUUCGUUGGCUUCUUGAGGAUUUUGGUGUGCCUCUCACUACACCCACUCCUCUCUCCACUGACAGCACUGGUGCGAUCAGUAUUGCUCGUGAUCCGGUCAAACAUGAGCUCACUAAACAUAUUGGUGUUGAUGCUUCAUACAUGAGGUCACGGGUGCAUGAUCAGGUUGUGUCUCUCCAUCAUGUGCCUUCCGAAGUUCAACUAGCUGAUUUCUUCACCAAGGCACAGACCCGGGCUCAACAUACAUUUUUGCUUUCCAAACUCAGUGUUGUUGAUCCACCAUGAGUUUGAGGGGGGGUGUUAGAUGUAUAUAUGUGAUAUUGUAUUUUCUCUUUCUUGGAGGUUCUCCUUGCAUAUGUACACAACAUGUAUACUUGCCCCUUUGGGCCUGGAAUAUGAAGUUAGUUGACCACUUAUUCUAACACUAUAUACCACCAUGCAGUCCACUAGAACUAAGGUCAUACAACUUUACUUCAUUCAACUCGUAUAUACCUAAUAAUUUGAGCUAGUGUCAUAGCAUGCUAUUCCGCCAUGAUCCAAACUGCCUGCACAAAUGAGCUACUUGUGGUGGCAACAUUCUGCUUUUGCAUGAGAAAACUAGAAUUCAGCUUAUCCAACAAAUGUAGAGAAACAAAUAUCCCUCUUUACAAAUACAGUGGCUUUCUAUUCGUUCAUGUAGGUUCUAAGAAAAGUUCGUGAAAUAUCAGACUAUGCAGUUCUAAUAACUUACCAUUCAAAGCUGAAGAAUGAUAUGCACCACAUGCUACUUGGAUUACAUGGAUACUUUUCAGACUAGGGACAAGCUGUGGCCUCCAAUCACUGAAUUUGCUGGAAAUGAUACACAAAAUGCAAAUAUUCAGCACAUCAAUAAAUUAAUCCAAAAAAUAUUUUAUCAAUAAUCCGGAUUUUAGGUCGAAUCCGAUCCAAACAUUGCCCUUACACAAGCUAAAAGGUACAACACAUGGUAAAACAUUUACUAGCAGGUCAGUGUUAAAAUGCUGUUUAAUGACACUGAAACUAGGUACAGACUCAAAAUUUUUUGGAUAACAAACUACUAGUGGUGCUCCGGACAACAAACACACAAAUCUACAACAAGCCGGAUGGGCUGGGGCUUCCGAAUUUCAUCCCGGCCAGCAGGAUUCAGAUUCCAUAAUUCCAUUGCCAAAGAGCAAACAGGAGAUGCUGAUUCCUGCAGAACAAAACUCACGCUUUGAACAAUACAACAAUCCAUCCUAGCAACCCAAUGCUUCCUCACCAGCGAAACAAAAGAAAGUCCAGAUGGAUCCCAACUCCACGGCAACCAGCAGUAGAGAGGCAGAGGAGGAGUAGCCCGAGUAGUAGAUGAUUCUUGGUCGAGUAGAGUAGCUUCGGUUGAGUUGAAUACAGGGCAGGGCGGUCGCGUGCUCCACGGUGUGGUGGGGCUACAAGGCAACUGGUUCACAGAAAUGGGGAAGGCAAGAAGAGGGUUCGAGACUGGGGCGGCAUCCGUGAGGUGUGCGACGGCGAAUUGAAGGCGGCCGUGCGAAAACGGAGAAGGCGAGAAGAGGGUUCGAGACUGGAUAAAAUAGCCUUAUGCGGUGUGUGAAGCGGCGGCGGCGGCGGCCAUGCGUGUGCGAAGAGGUAGAGUCUGAGCGUACAUGCAAUGAGCGGUUGAAUAUGUUCCACAUUCAGUUGCACAUUAUAAAGGCCGACUUCUGACGGAGCGAAGCGGAGGCCCGUACGGCGUUGUAACCCAACUCUUGAUAAUAUUGAGGAGUGUUUGCUGGCUGGCGCCCGUGGUUUUUCGCCUUCGCUUUGGAGGGGUUUUCCACGUUAAAUCUUGUGUCUCCACUAUAUUUUGAUCUCAUGUUCUUCGUCGUUUAUCCGCCGUUAUUCACAACAUGAGCUACGUUGUGGGCUGUAACCUGUGUGCACCCAUGGACUGGACACCACGUAGAACCAAACCAGCCCAGUCCAUUAGACCCGUAGCCCCAAAUCUAUCUAGCCCAUGACGAACAUGAAGACUAUUGCUUCCAAUCCAGAGCCAUUCGAUGCACAAUCCAAACCGUUAAAACCAUUCCAGUCCAAUCCACUAGCAGAGUGAUGUGCGUCCACAAAGCGGUAGGAACAUUUCCUUUUUUUAAAAAAAAAAUGUACUUGUUCAGAUGCCUUCCUUCCUAUGUAAUCUUCGCAUGUUACUUUGUUGUUUGUUCGUUCAGAAAAUCUUUCUCGUUUGGAUGUGAGCGCAUCAUCAGAUGAGGCUGAUGAGGAAGUGGUGCUGCAGUUUCCACCCUCCAGCUUGUUGAGAAAUGUCCGCUUCCUUGGGUGUAUGAAUCUGAUCCUGCCUGUGGAGGAAGAGGAAGGUGCUGGAUUGUGUGGCCUCUCGUCGCUCGAGUCCGUGACCGUAAUAAAUUGUGACAAGCUAUUCUCUCGGUGGUCCAUGGGAGGAGCAGCAGCUCAGACUCAGAGCACCAUCUACCCUCUCCCCCCUUGCCUCAAGGAACUCUGCCUUUAUUAUCAGCAAAGCACUCUGCCAAUGGCUCUGUUCGCGAAUCUCACAUCUCUUACCAGUCUAGAACUAUAUAAUUGCAAGGAUAUCACAGUGGAUGGGUUCGAUCCUCUCAUCACAUUCAACCUCGAGCGUCUGGAGGUGUACAACGGGAGAGAUGGUGAGGCUGAGCCCUAUUCUGUAGCAGCAGAUCUACUUGCAGCGGUGGCAAGGACCAAAACAAUGCCCGCCGGUUCCUUCCAACUGGUUCGACUUGAUGUGGACAGCAUCUCUGCUGUGCUUGUUGCUCCCAUCUGCACCCGCCUGUCGGCUACCCUCCAGAGGUUAUACUUCAGGUAUGAUUGGCGGACGGAGAAGUUCACGGAAGAGCAGGACGAGGCGCUUCGGCUCCUCACAUCUCUCCAAGCCCUGUGGUUCUUUGACUGCAGGGCUCUGCAGUCCCUCCCUCAAGGCUUGCAUCGCCUUCCUUCUCUCCAGGAAUUACAUAUCAGGGGAACUCAAAAAAUCAGAUCGCUGCCCAAGGAGGGCCUCCCUGACUCACUGCGACUGCUAUCCAUAGAUAAUUGCUGUCCCAAGAUUUAUGAGGAAUGCCAGAAAUUAAGGGGAACAAGGCCAGAUAUACAUACAGUUGCCUUCAUUGCUCGAGCGGAAAGGUGAAUCUCUGCUUCUGCAUGCCUUUCACGCACUCAACUCUUCAGUGUACAUCGAUCUGCAGGUUAGUUCCAAAUUAAAAACAAAAACACCUUUUGCUCCUCGAUUUAUGAUUUCAUUAACUGUCCAAACUGAAUUGUUUUUUUUGUAGACUGAAUUUACGAUCUAUAAUUUGAGCUCCUAACAUCUCUCCAAAACCUAUCGUUCGAAGACUCUGCAGCCCUGCAGGCCCUCCCUUCUCUCCAGGAAUUACAUAUCAAUAUAUCAUUGCAACUCAAAAUAUCAUAUGGCUGCCCAUAUCUGAUUUAUUAGGAAUGACCGAAAUUAAAGGGAACAAGGCCUCUGUUCAUACAGUUGCCUUCAUUCCUGACGCGGAAAGCUGAAUCUCUGCUUCUCCUGCCUUUCACGCACUCCAACUCUUCACUGUACACCGAUCUGCAGGUUAGUUCCAAAUAAAAAAACCAGCUUAUAUGCCCUAGGAUUUAUGGUUUUAUUGACUGUGCAAACCGAACUAUUUUAUUUAUUUUUUUGCAUAUAGAUAUGACCCAUUGUCAUAUGCUUCUGUGCUACAAUUGGAGCCACCAUUCCACUAUUCAUGUCUUAUUUCUUUAUCCAACAAAUUUCUAGCAUUUUUCCUGAAUAUUGCAUUGUUUCAAUGAAUCUCAUACUGUGAAUUGGUACUUUCACGGAGAAAAGAGAAUUGUUUCAAUGAAUAAAGACCAUGCCACUAUUAGUUCAUUCUUGUUGUGGCAUGUCGUCAUGAAUUGUGUUUUUUUGUAGACUGAAUUUACGAUCUAUAAUUUGAGCUCCUGACAUCUCUCAAAAGCCUAUCGUUUGAAGACUGCAGGGCUCUCCAGGCCCUCCCUCCUCUCUUGGAAUUACAUAUCAUUGCAACUCAAAACACCAGAAAUGAAAAGAGGACAAGGCCAGAUAUACAUACGAUUGCUUUCAUUCCUGACGCGGAAAGCUGAAUCUCUGCUUCUCCCUGCAUUUCACGCACUCCAACUCUUCACUGUACACCGAUCUGCAGGUUAGUUCCAAAUAAAAGAAAAACAGCUUUAUGGUUUCAUUGACUGUGCAAACCGAACUGUUUUAUUUAUUUUUUGUAUAUAGAUACGACCCAUUGUCAUAUGCUUCUGUGUUACAAUUGGAGCCCCCAUUCCACUAUUCAUGUCUUAUUUCUUUAUCCAACAAAUUCAAUCUCUCCGAUCCUACAAUUUAAUUUCUGGAUCAUAUCAAUUUCUAGCAUUUUUCCUGAAUAUUGCAUUGUUUCAAUGAAUCUCAUACCGUGAAUUGGUACUUUUAGGAAGAAAAGAGAAUUGUUUCAAUGAAUAAAGACCAUGCCACUAUUAGUUCAUUCUUAGUGUGGCAUGUCAUGAAUGGCUGUGGAUGGCUUAUUUCCUAGAUCAUGGUGCAUAUGCCUUGUUGAUGAUCUGAUACGCAAAAUCGCAUUGCUUCUGUUACAUGACAAUAAGGUUAUAUGCUGGCUUGCCUUGCAGGACUCUGCUUCAUCAUACGGUUACACAUCAUCGUUCAAAAAACAUAUAUAAUGAGCACCUAACUUAGAUUGUGGCAAAUUUUGGCAAAGAUCAGGUGAGACAGUCACAAGUGAAGUUCCGUGUAUUCCAUUCUGUUUUUCCUUUUAGAGCUCUUGUGACUUUUUUGUAGUUUCAGACCCUUGACUUUCGUUGGUCUUUUGAAACCACUGAAGGCAGGAGAUGCUGCAUCAUGGAUCAGACUAGAGACUUUUUCUGCAUCGGUCAACCAGCUUAGUGGCAGAACGAAAAAUGCUUUUGAAGUAAUGUGUUUUACUUAACUAUGUACAUCUCUAUAUAAAUGGCAUAAUCCUCUGGAGCCAUUUUAUAAAUUGAUGAUCUGUUGCUUCCUUUGUCAGGACAGGCUCACAAUUGCUUCAAAUUAGAAACAAACCUGUCAGUUAAAGUUCCUAUAUGCCCAAUUAAGCAGUACAUACACCCAGCACUCUGAUUCACUGCGAGUGCUAUAGAUAUUGCUGUGCUGAGAUUAAUGAGGAAUGCCAUAAAUUAAGCGGCACAAGGCCAGAUAUAAGUAUAGGUGCCUACAUUGCGUCUGUGUUCAGCAUGCCUUUGAAUCUACAGGUUAGAUCCAAAUUUAAAAAAAAAAACAGCUUAUUGUGCUCCUCGAUUUAUGAUUUCAUUGACUGUGCAAACCAAUCCUCUUGUGGCAUGUCACGAAUAAAUAUAGAAAAUUGCUCAAUAAAUUCCAUGUCCUUAUAUUAUGUUAGAGUAAAUAGGAAUAGUACCACAUUGUGUAUCCACAUGAGGUGCUAGUCCUAUGUACCCUAUAUAAUCAGCCCAUGAGACCCAAUGCAAUAUAUCAAAUAUUCAACCAAUUAUAUUUUCCUUCAUGGUAUCAUUCACCUAGGUUUAGAUUCUAACCCUAGCCGCCACUGCUUCCGCACUGCGCGACCCCGGAGAGAGGUCGAUCUCCGCCAGGGGCAGCGUCCCUCUUUCGGCGUCCGAUCCUAUUGAUCCGGCUGCCAUCGUCGUCGCACAACAGAUCAGAAUCUCCCCUAUGUCAUCGCCAGGUUGCCGCCGCCGCCUCGUCCCCAGGCUCGCCGCCGGCUGUCGCCAUCAACACCUGAUCAUCAUCGCAUGGAAGCAGAUGGAUCUCGCCCUGUCCCGUGCCGUCGUGGUGGCGGCUAGGGCUGGCCACACGUCUCGACCCUGCGCUGCCAUGGAGGCAGCCAGAUCUGGCGUGUCCCUGUUGCCGAGCGGAUAUGCCCAUCUCCACCUCGUCGAUAUGCGUUGGCGCCUUCGACCCCGCGUGUUCGUGACCCGCCGUGCGCCUUGCGCUGCCCGAUCGGGACGCACCGCCGCUGUCGUGUCGUCUUGCUGGGUACACCUGAUCUGUUUUUACUGUAUCUUUUUGGUUUGGCGGAUCACUGAUCGGGAUUGAGUCACCCACCGCCCGUCGAGCAUCGACUUCAUCGACACUGUCUCCGAGUACUACGUGCAUCUUCUCUAAGCAACAGGGCUACUAUUGUGUCGCCUCAUUGGGCCACAACACUGUUAUCCAUGUGUACGCUUCGCCGUUGCAUCUUCAUCGCCGUCAUCUGUGCAUCGACGACUGUGCUGCGCAAUCCCUACUGUGCCAUCCGUCUGCACAAGGUCUUCGUCGUGCUGAUUGGGUCUUCGUCAUCGAGCUACCACUACCCGCGUCGUCGCUGAGACCUACUCGUCGACACGUCUUCUCUCGCAUUGCUUCUUCUUCAUCCAGCACAACCACACGGUUGGGGCCCUCUCUCUUGUAUGCUUGGUAUUGGCAACACCGACGCGCGCUUUCGUCCCCGACGCGUUGCUGGAUCUAGCAAAUCCAGCUGCUCCUCGGCGCUCAGGCGGCUUGACUGCAUCGACCCUCCCGUUCCCACCCCGUCUGCCUCUAUUGCGUCAUUGCCUUUCUUCUGCGUCUACGACGGCCCUAACUGCGUCGACUUCGCCAUCGUUCCCUCCCAUGAUGACUGCCUUGACGCGUCUCCGUCAUUACUAUGGCGCCCCUUGUAUGUCUGCAGCUCCAUCGACACGCAACCCAACCACAACUACGUCGACUUCGGCCAUCUUCAGCACAGCUUCUUCGACCACGACUAUUGUGCCCUUACGCUCGGCUACCUCGACAUUGGCAGAAAGGGCUACCGCCUUGCAUGGACUCAUCGGCUUCUUCCCCAGCCAUAGCAUACGCGGCGGAUAGACUGUUAUGACUGCGGGGGAUGUUACUUAUCAGCUUCUUCUCCAGUCUUACCGUCUGUAGCGCUUCUGCUGUAACUGCGGGGGGAUGUUAGAGUAAAUAUGAAUAGUACCACAUUGUGUAUCCACAUGAGGUGUUAGUCCUAUGUACCCUAUAUAAUCAGCCCAUGAGGCCCAAUGCAAUAUAUCAAAUAUUCCACCAAUUAUAAUCUCCUUCAUAUUACUUAGUUGAUUCCUCUUGUGGCAUGCCAUGAAUAACUGCUGAUUUUUUGGUGCCACUCCACCUUAUUAUAUUAGACACCCUAAAUCAUGAUGCAUAUGCUCUUUUGGUGACCUGAUAUUCACAAUUCUCUUGUUUCUGUCACAGCACUAGUGGUUGCCCACAGCACAGUGAGAUGAUAUACUGGUUUUCCUUUGCAGGACUCUACUUCAUCAUCAUGUUACACAUCGUUGAAAACCAUAAAUGAGGCCAAGUUUGGGUUGUGGCAAACUUUGGCAAGUAAAGCCAAGGAAAUUCUCAAUGACGAUGGCUUGGCGCCUAAGUUUGAGGACUUAGGGAAUAACAACCUCCUAGCAAAACCGGUGCAUCCAAAAAAUAUCAGGUGAGACAGCAAUCAUAUCUGAAUAUCUGAACAUAUUGACAUCGUGUAUGGCAUUGUCUCUCUCUUCAUUAAGAUUGUUCCAGGCUUUCUUUUCUUGUAAUUUUAGACCCGUAACUCCCGUUGUUCAUUUGAAAACCACUGGAAGACAGGAGAUGCGGCAUCACAAGUCAGACCUUUGAUCAUUUGAAAACCACUGAGGCUCUUUCUGCUUCUAUCAACCAGCUUAGUGGAUGGAAGAAUAAAAAAUGCUUUGGAAGUAAUGUGUUUUUACUUAACUCUGUACAUCUGUUUCUGUUUCUUUAUUUCUAUAAAUGGCACAACUCUGAGCUGUAUUGUAAAUUGAUGAUCCGUUGCUUCCUUUGUUUAACAGGAAAGGGGUCACAAUUGUGGAUAAUUAGACAUCCAGUAUCAUUGAGUUGAGGAAACAAAGAAAAUUCAAAUUAGAAGGAAACCUGCCAGUUCGAAUUCUCAUAUGCCGAAUUCAGCAGUAGAUACACAUAAACCCACGCUCCUGAUCUCUCACCAUUAACCUGAAUCUGCAGCCCAGGAGACUGAACUGUACGCUUCUCACGACAACAGGUGCCACAUGUUUGUAUCUUGAUGACAAAUAUGAUAUUAUACAUCCUCUAUGAGAGAAACAUGUAGUCAUCAUUGUUGUCGGAUCAACAUUAAAUUUUAUGUUUUCUAGUCUUAUGAAAUGGGUUACGGCAUUAGUUUUCGGUAUAUUACAUGAAAGCAUAAAGAUGUUUCUAUUUUCUACUAAGAAAUAUUUCUAGUUCCUUUGUUGAUCUACUUAUUUCCUGUUCCUUUAUUUUGCCAAUCUAUUUAUUUCUAGUUCCUUUACCCAUUACGGAGCUGUAGUGUAGUCGAGAAUUGAUUGAGUGCCAGCUGAGGUUGCCUAAUGUUUUCUUAUGGUUUGUAGCAUUUCAAAAUAUAAGCAUUGCUCCUACCUGAUUCGUUUAAAAAAAACAAAAAAAAAGCUAAGCAUCGUGACCAGCAGAAUAGCAGAGUAAGCUCUUUUAUGUGCUUACAUUUUUUUUUUGAAAUAAUUGUACUUACAAUGAAUAGUAGAACUGUUUUUUUCCCUCAAAACAUAAAUUUUGUCUUUUCAGUGCGUUAGAUGAAUGGUUCAGAUAAGUUAUUCUUUUGUAGUAUCUGCCAGCAAUGAUCCCUUUCUCUUUUCCCCUAUUAAUCCUUUCAGGUUGCUAAUGUAAUGGCUGCUAUAAAGCGAAACUUCUACUCUAUGAGCAAAAAUCUGUUGAAUCGAUCCAGAUUUUGUGAAGCAGAUAUGUGCUCAGCUAGAAGUACUAGAAGCAAAGCAGAAAGGGGAUAAAACUGAAGAGUGGUAAUCUGUUUUUUUUUAUCAAACUUGUUUCUUAACAUGUUUAAUGUCUUUUCGUGAAUUACAUACACCUUUGAUUACUCCUUCGAUUACAUACACCUUCAAACUUGCAACAAUCUUUGGCCAUUCAAAUUAAUAAAACCUACAACUUUGAUUACAUUACACCAAAAAAAACUGCAACAAUGCUGCAUAAACUGCAGCUAAUAUAUUAAAGUGAAAAUUGGUUGUGUGGUAAAAUGACAAGGAUCAGAAAAUACCACCAAAAGAACUCCAUUACCAGUGAUGCCACCCAAAGAUAAUGCUGUUUUCUGAAAAUAGCAUUUCUUCAUGUUUGGAAGUAACAGCCUAGCACGAUCCAUCUCCGUCAAUCCAAAGUGGGAAAAAAAUCCACUCCAACCUAUGAAAAAUAAAUCCACUGCAUUGCCCAGUGUACUCAAUGGAUUUCCUUGUACAUUGACAGGUGUUGAGCUAAUUUGGGCUGACGGGACUCCGGUUACUGCGCAUGGCGAGGCGUGUUUGAUUUCAGCGGGAAGGAGAGCUCGGACACCAUGACCGGCAUCCGAAGAGCCUACCCGGAGCUCGGCAACUGCCUCUACUUCGAUCUUGCUCACAAGACCCACGCCGUGCUCUACGAGCUGCCCAGGAGCAGGCUCAACUGGCUCUGGUACAUCAAUGGCCCAGAACCGGAGCUCACGGUAAUGGCCGUCCCCCUCGCUGCGUCGUCGACGUGCUAGGAUACUUGACUCCACAGCGCAAGGGUACAGAAAGGUCAUCACCACAGUACAAGGGCCCAUGGAUGUUGUGCAUGCAUAGCAUUGGGAACAACCACACACACACAAAAGGAAUAUUCCUUACAGAUGCUAACUGAGCAUGUCCCUAAAGAUUAUCAGUAUGUUUUAUCAUCCUUAUUAAUUAUGAUGAUAUAAGAUUAGUUUCUGAUGGGUGCUAAUAUGUUGACUAGUACAUGAUAUGAUUUGUGUGCCAAAUAGGCUACUAGUACUCGUAAUUACAUGAUUUGGGUGCUAAUAUAUAUGUUGACUCGUACAUGAUUUGUGUGCCAAAUGGGCCGUAAAGAUCUUUGGAGUCUAUCUCUUAGCCUACUCAUAUAGGAGCUGUCUUUUUAUUAUUAAUACAUAGUCCACUUAUCACUCUCAUAAAGUUUUAUUUGUUCUUAUAUCUAAGUCAGUAACAUCCUCCUUCUCCUCUCCUCUCUCUCCUCCACGCCACGAUUCAUUUUCCUUAUAGUAUGUUAUUAUACUGGUUCUUAUAGCCGAUUCUCCUUCAUCCUAAAUUAUAAGCUAUUUCAAAAAUCUUAAAGAGACAAAAUAUUUUAAAUCCAAUGUAUAUUUAAUUUAGGACAGACAGAGUAUUGUGUUAGGUGAGGGGUCUCAAUCAAACAGUUUUGUUUGGUAGAUGAAUUGAUGUGGCGACUUUUUUUUUUUGCGACAUGAUGUGGCGACUUAAUCCCAGGCUUUUGUGUCGCAUGUUAGCAGCAGUAGCAGCAGAUGAAUGGUGACGGAGGGGCUAGUUUGAUACUUUAAAUUAUUUUUUAUAAUAAGAUAAGUGGAUAAUUUAGUACCAGGUUUUAGAGUUUUUUAUUUUAUAAAUAAUGAUUGUGAGUAGUUUAUUUGCAAAUUAGGGGCUUUAGAUUGUUUUUCGUAACGUUAUAUGUGGGUAAUUUAGGGUUUUAGUUAUUCAGUUUUUAUAGUGGCAUAAGUGUUUAACUUAGAUUGAUAUCGAAGAUAUUGUAUAUUAUUUUUAAUUAUAGAUGUGACUAAUUUAGAUAAAAAUUAAGGAUUACUUUAGACUCUUCAUAAAGGUUGCCCUGGAUAGUUCUUUUUUUUUUAAAAAAAAAAGAAAGUAUAACAGAUCCAGGUAACUAUUAUUACUGAUUCCUAACGAGUU